This 54717-nucleotide long non-coding RNA is filed under the name Citrus sinensis (sweet orange). Its description in RNAcentral is "long non-coding RNA (CSIN_LNC000960)". Lineage: Eukaryota; Viridiplantae; Streptophyta; Magnoliopsida; Sapindales; Rutaceae. The record is from RNAcentral.
UUUUAAUCAGAUGAUGAUGAUAAUAAAUAUCAAAUAAAAUGAGAAUUGAGUGCUUAGUUGAUGAUUUUGUGGUAAAUAUUAAAUUAAUGGUGUUAGAAUUAGAGUACUGUAUUCUCACAGCCGAUUCAGCAUAAAUGGUUUUGAAUUGGAGUACUUAGAAACAACAUAUUAUUAUUUAUUAUAUUAUACAUUAAUUAGGAUACCAGUAGAAGCAAACACAAAACACCAAGUGCCGUUUAUUUUGAUGACAUUAUUAAGGAGGUGGGGGUUUGUUUCGCCCCUGAUAUUCAGAGAUUCUUCCACUCAACUUCGGGGCGGCCAUUGUGCAUGCCGCUGCCAAACUGAUCAUCGCGGCUCUCGUACUGCAUCCUCAUCAUUCUCCCAUCGGCAGCAGCAGGACCUGCACCGUGGUUGUUCAUCAUCAUCAUCAUCAUCAUGUGAUGAUCAUCGUGAUACGGCGACAUACGGCCCCCAGCUGAGGCAUGACCGCUGUAGCUGCCAUUUUGGUGGUGGUACUGCUGCUGCUGCUGCAUGUUUUGAUACGGAUACCUGUUAUGAUGAUUGAACGCCACGUGCUGCUUCAUGUGAUUGUGAUGACCAGGUGGCAUCAUCUGCAUGCUCGAGUAGUACUCAUGAUCCAUGGCGCAGCUCUCCUCGUGCGGGGCAUAGCGCCUAGGGCCAUAGCUCAUCAUCUUGUCAAGCAUCCUUGCUAGCUUCUUGCUAAUUAGUUCUUGAAAUUAGGCUCUGAAUGAAUUUUCUGUUCGUGGUGGGUUGAGAUGUGAAUAAUUUAGGUGUUGCUUAAAUAGGCAAUUUUCAUAUCAGAUGAGAAAGCAUCUAAUGCCCACAGCAGGGCCAUUGCUCGAAUUUUUUUGAUAACUUUUUUCUCCCCCCCUUUUUUGGCUGUCUUCUUGUAAAUUAUUUCUAUAUAUAUAUAUAUAUAUAUAUAUAUAUAUAUGAGUGGUACAGAAUGCAGAAUUUGUUCUCCUAAUUGUUAUAUUAAUAUAUAAAAGCAUAAUCUCUUUGGUUCACCACUUAAAAUAUAUAAGGCUCGACCAGUUUAUCAUAAACAAAGGCAAAAUUGAACAAAAUGGGAAUUAAUAAAAUGAGUGGUGCUGCACAUCCCAAAUAUCGAGAAAUUCUAUAAUAAAGCAUAUAUAAUACAACCAAUUGACGCAUGCAUGACAUGCGUAAUUGAAUUUAAUGUAACCACUAUUUGCAAGAUGAUAUUUCAAAAUAAACGUACAUAUUUCAUAGAAUCAUUUACAUGUCAUUUGGUUGACACGGUACUUCUAAUGCACUGUAGAAUUUCUCCAAUUUAUUUAUCCUGAAAAAUUAUCUCAAAUGAUGACAUUAAGUGGUUAGUCAGGAUAAUACAAUUAAUUGGCUUGGAUUUUAUAAAGAAUUAUCAACCAAUUAAUGAAUGACAUAUCAUUUGAGAUGAAAUUUAAGAUAAAAAAAUUUGGAAUGUUUAUCAUUACUCUUAAUAAAUUAACUCAUAAAAUAUGGACUGGACAAAUAACAAUUUGGGCCGGCUUGAUUAAUCUACGUCAAGGGAACUUAGCCCAAUCUCUUAAUUUCUUUUUGAAAAAAUAAAAUGGAGGGGGAACUGAGAAACGGAAGAUUGCAAAAAAGAUGGCAUUUGAUGGAGGGAAAAUUCGAAGAAAGAACAAGUGACCUUCAGAUUUUAAAAUGAGGGCCAUAAAGAGACCAAUGGACCGAGAACAUCAAAUUUUAUUAUUUUUUUUAAAAAAAAAAGAAGUCUAUAUGAGGAGAAGUAGUGUGUCCUACACUACGACUCAUUAUACGAAGGCAUGCGAUGGUAUAGGAAGAGCGAGAAGCAACUCUUUUUCUUUACUUUCCUUUGCUUUGGAGAAUGUCAACAAACAAACGUUAGGGGCCCCCACUCAGUACUCGUUAACAAGACGCCCGUCCCGUACGAUACUUACGCCGAUGAAAAAGAAAGGCGCUGCUGGAGUCUGAAACAAUCACUGCCAAAAGACUUGCACUGAUUCUCUCUCUUGAGUCUUGACCGCCUGCAAAACCAUUGCAAUUCCCAAAGCAUUCGUUUCUUUUUCCACUCCCAUCUUUCCUAAAUAAAAAAAAAGAAUAUUAUCAUUUUCUCACUAAAGUUAUUCUGAUACAUCGUAUUAGUAUCACGGUAUGAUAAAAAUAUAAUUUUACGAUCAAACAUUUAAAUUGUUAGUAUUUUCUCACCAUUUCGUUAACUAAAUAAAAAUUAUGCUAACAUCAUAAGGGUAUUUUGGACAUCUCAUGCGAAGCCAAAACGUUGUGUUUUACAAUUGUAAAAAAGCAAGCAAUUUGGACAUGAAAGCCCUAGAAAUCGAAACAGCCCCCUCUAUCUCGUUUUUUGUUCCAUCUUCGCCCUCUCUCGCUCGUCACUGACCCAUAUCUCUCUCACUCUCGCAGCAGUGUCGUCUUUUGAGGGUAAUUUUGUAAUUAAAUCAUCUUUUGUUGUUCUUCCUUUUUAAAGGAUAAAAUCAUCUUGUUGUCUUUUGGGAGUAAUUUUAUAAUUAAAUCGUCUUUUGUUGUUCUUCCUUUUUUAAAGGGUAAAAUCGUCUUUUACGCUCCAGGGGUAAAAUUGACUUUUUAUACAUUUUCCAUUAAAUAUUAACUGAGUUUUAACGGAAUGGUGAGAAAAUGCUAACAAUUUAAAUGUUUGGUAGUAAAAUAUUGUUUUUACCAAACCGUGGUACUGACAUGAUGUGUCAGAAUAACUUUAGUGGGAAAAUGAUAAUAUCAUUUUUUUAAAAAAAUACAAAAUGCGCUUCAUUUCUAAAACCAAUAUCAAUGAUACAAACUCCAUCAUUGAUUUAUGAGACUGAACCUCGUGGUAGAGUGAUAGUGUUACGCGGUAUUUAUCAGAUUAAUUAUAGAAUUUUAUCACAUGCUCGCUACAUCAUCUUUAUUAAUCAACAAAUCUAAUACAAGUUAUUUUUUAGAAAAGGAAAAAGGAAAGAAAUUGCUUAGAAUGACAUAGAACUGUCGUACCAAGUUUUUUACCCAAUAUUGUAGGCCAUAAUUAGGGUCAUCACAUUGUGUUUCGGAUUAUGAGUACUACUCGAGCAUGUAAUGCAUAUAAUAAAUUGAUAUGAGUUUAGCACUUCAUAUUAAAAAUAUAACAUCCCAAAGUAUAUUAAAAACGAUGCUUCAAAUAAUGUGUAUCAUAUAUAUCUAUUUAGCGCUUUAUACUAUGUAUGUAAACAACCCAAAAGUAUAUUGAAACUUAUGCGUUAAACAAUGUGUAGUGUAAGAUGAUAUCGUAAUUUUUUUAUGAGAAUAUUACAUUUUAACAUAAGUUUUCAAUAUCAUAUCAUGGUAUCUUGAUAUUAUAUUUUGAAAUUUAUAAUAUGUAACAAGUUUUGGGUGGAGUCCAUAAAUUUAAGAAUGAGGAAUGAGAAUCUCAUUCUCAUAUUUAGGAUGAGAAUGGAGACCAAAUUGACAUUUUUAUCUUUAAAUAAAAUCAAAAUGUUUUUUACAUCAUUUAGAUAUUAAUUAUUAUUAUUAUUAUUACUACUAUUUAUUAUUAUUAUAAUAAUAAAACAAUAAUAAUUUUUUAAUUAAAUAAUAAUAAUAACAACAACAAAAACCACAACAAUAAUAAAAAUAUUUAAUAUUAUAAUAAUAGUUGUCAUUAUUUUAUUAUACUAAUAGUUGUAAUAAUGAUAAUGAUAAUGAUAUAUAAAGUAAAAAUAUUUACACUUUAUUUUGUUAAUGAGCAAUAAUUAGGAGUAUUUCAAUAACAAUUUAUUUUGAUCAUAAGAUAAAAGUAAAUAUAUUAAUAAAAGAGUUGGACUAUUGGCAACCCUCUAAAUAUCUCUUAGCACCCCUUUUCUUAAUUAACCCCAUUAAAAUGUUUUAAAAAAUUAAAUAAUUCUUUUAACACCUCCAUUAAUAACAAAAAUACCCUUAAUUAAAACUUAUUGUGUAAAUCUCAUUCUUUAAUUUUUAUUAUUAAACCCCAUUGUAAUAAUGAGGUAUCUUAUAUUUAAAAGAAAAAAUAAUGGGUUUUCUUUUUUUUUUUUUCUAUUGUAGCUAUCGAUGGUAAAUUCAUUACCUGAAAAUUAGAGGAAAAAGCCACAUUUUUAAUUUCUAAAAUGUUAAAUUUUAUAAGAAAAAAAAAUUAUUUGACUUUUGAGUGGAAGUUUAAUUAGAAAUUAUCAUAUUAUAUAAUUUUCUUAAAAAUUAAAAUUAUAAAAUAAUUAAAAGAGUUUUAAAAAGUAUUUAAAGAGAUAUCAAUAGUCCAACUCUUCAUAAAAAUACAACUAAUUUAAAUUUUCUUUUCAAACUUACUCUAAUUUCUAUAAAAUAUUUCCAAGUUUAACCAAGUGAUAUUAUGAGAUAAAGUAAGUGCAACCGGAAGCAAGUGGAAGCCGCUUUUACUUAAACUUUUUUAACUUUUGGCAAGUGAAAAUGACAAUACCAAUAAGCAACGGACACGUUGAUAAUUAAAAACUCUGAAUUUAUCAGACUUUCGCGUGCCCCAACUUGGGCUAAAAGCAGCGACUUCUUCUCAGUUCUCACUUCUCAUCAGUGAUUUUUAACCAGUCCAGUACACACUGACUAACAACUUUUAUCAUCCAGAUACGAUAAAGGGGGAGAUUCAAAUUGUUUCUUCUCUCCCUUCUCAGCUGCCUUUUUUUUUUUUUUUCCUUAGUUUUGUCUGAUGGGUUGUCUCUCUCUUCUUGGCUUGCCUUUCUUGAAAGACGACGAAAAGGUAAUGAAUAAGAGAGAGAGUGUGUGAGUUGGGAGGGGGAUUUUCAUUUUUGAAACUGAAACCACGUACUACUACUACUACUACUACUACUAGUACUACUCACAUAGCUUGUUUGCUGACCAUUUUGACUGGAUUUUGGACUACUGCGUCUGCGUUUGUGUCUUUAAUUACAACUAUCCCAAUCAAGGUGGGCCGCAAGAUUUAGGAACCUGACAGAUGCUUCCCUUCCCUUCCCUUCUUAACUUAAGGUCACACUGUCAUACCGUGUCAUUGCAUAUUAAAAAUUUCACCAUUAAACUGUUUAAUAAAUAUUAAUUAUUAUACUUUUUAAGACUUAAAUUAAUCCCGUUUUAUAUUAUUAUGCGAUAAAAAAUUCAUAAUAUUUGUAUUAUUUCAUCAAAAUAAUUAUUUUAAAAAUUAUGCUUAUUAUUUAAUAUUAAUUUUCAUUUUAUAAUUAUAAUUUUUUUUAAUUUUUACAGCAACUGUAACUUAAAAACGAUAAUAAUUUAAUAUUAAACAAAACCUUAUUUUUGUAAAUUUAUAGAUUGUUCUGUUGACAAAAAUAAAAAUAAUAGAAUAAUAAACUUAUGUAACAUAAUUAAUAAUGCAUUCGAACGAUGUAAAACAAACCAUGACAUUAUUUGUGCACGUCACUACCAGAUUGUUGCAAUAUAUAUAAGUAUUUUAAAAUAUUAUAUAUAUAUAUUAACAAUGGUUAUAAUAGAGUUGUUUUAUCAUAAAAUAUUAACUAUGACCGUCAAAUUAUAAUAAUAAAUACAAAUCUCUGUAAUCAUACGGUUAUGAUCGAUGCUCUAAUGUAUACUAAACUCGGCAGCUCUUUUAUCGUUUAUCUUACCAAAGAAUCCAAGGUGCGUCUUCUAUUAAUUCACAAAUGCAAUACGUGUGAUGUGAGAGGGGAUUGUUUACAAAAAGACAAGAAAAAAGAAAAUGAAGAUUGAAGAACCAACUCAUCGGAUUCAGAAACGCAGUGCAUUUCCCAGUAAGAGUGAGUCAAAACACAAGUCGUCUUCCACGGUUGAAAGCUCACUCGGACUCAUCUGGGAUUUGCUUCGGGGAUUGUAAUGGGAACCUUCCCGAGGAAGUUUAUUUUUUCUAACUGACAUUUUUGCCCCUUUAUGAAACAAAACAAACAUACAACAGAAGCACGCAUCGUAUCAUAUUCAUAUUCAUUCAUCAACAUAACUAAAGAAGUUUAAUUAAUUAAUUAAGUUUAACUAACACUAACAUACUGAUUAAGAAUUCAAACAGAAAGUUUUGAUGAUACUCUUGACUAAAAACCUAAUUAAGCUAAGCAAUAAGGACAGUACGGCAGGGGCAAAAAAAAAAAAAAAGAAGAACAUAAUAUGAUCUCCCUAUCAUCUUCUUCUUCCUCAUCAUCAUCAUCAUCAUCAUCUUUAGUAAUUAGGGUUAGGGGGACGAGAAGGUGGGGCCCAAUGCAUUACGUGAUGAUGAUCGGGAGCUAUCUGGCAACUGAGAGGUGUAGGAUUACCGGCAACAGCAGCAACACCAUAAACAGGCAUGGUCUUGCCCGCACUAGAACAAGACUCGGUUGCUGCGCUUGCACCAACGAUAUUAGGCUUAGUCUCAGCAUCUACCUGAUUAUCACCUUCAUCGGAGGAAAUGGGCAGGCUGUGAACCAAAGGGUUGAGGAAUGUAGCUGCCACCACCACCACCUUACUCGCCGCCGUCACCUUUCCGGCUACUAUGCCUCCGAACACCUGCCCCUGUGCCCCGGCGAGUGUGACGCCAAACGAAGAAGGAGAAGAAGAUGAUGAAGAAUCGUAAAACGAGCCGGAGAGCGAGAGAAGGUGGAAGGGGCCGUGAAGAGAGAGGGAAUGCGCGUGAGAGAUGGGCUGGCGAAGGGUGACGUGAGAGACUGAGCCGGAGGCGCUGACGAGGGAAAUGCCCGCGUGGUUCCUACGCGCGAAGGUGAUGACACUGUCGAUGAUAUCAGCUCCAGCGGAUAUCUCGAGGAUGACGGGCUUCAUGGCCGACGAGUCGGUUAUGUCUCUGGUUAUUACGACGGGCGGCUUGGGCUUGUUCUUGGAACCGGGAGGCCUUCCUCUAGGCUUACGCGUCGCGUUUUCAGGCGUUGAUGAUGAUUCGAUCACCAUCAGCUGCUGAUGGUGGUGGUGGUGGUGAUGGUGAUGAGAGUUUUUGUUUUUCUUAGAGGAUGAAGCAGGGGGAGGGCUGUGUUGGUCGGAGGAGGAGGAGGAGUCAUCAGCAGCAGCAGCGUGGGCAUAGUCCGCCAUUGCUGGGGCACCUGUAAAAAUUAAUAUUAUAGAGAAAUAGACUGUAUAAUGAGUUAAUUUCUGGGGCUUUUUAUUCUUAAAUUAUAAAAUACUGGGAAGGAUUGGGUCCCACACGGCUGAUGCACUGUGGGACCCACACACAUGAGAUGAAACAUCCCAAAGCGAGAGAUAAUUUUUCUUUGAUGUUGAGACAUGAGAAGUUAUGUACGUUACAUUAACAUCAAUCUAUGGGUUGAGAGAUUGAUAAUUAAUUAUACACAGUUGUGAGUGGAUUGAGGUGCCACUGCUUUUGUAAGUAGGCUUACUGGUGUGCUGGGAAAUUGAGUUGAUUUAACCGCAUAUUUAUAUUAUAAAAAAUUUCUAAUAUCUUUAUUAUAAAAAAAAAUUAUUAAUUUACAUUUGAGCUCUUUAGUUAUGGUUUAUAAUUUCGUCUGUCUAAAUGAGACUAUUUAGUGUAUACACUCUGUUUUGGGGAAUUUCAAAUUUUGCAAAAUGUUCUCCAUUUAGAGGAUCCAAACAUGGUGUUUUUCUGUGAGAUUAAGAUAUAAUGGUGCGUUUAUUUUAUGAGAAUGUGAAUGAACUGGAAUGGGAAUGAGUUUUCAAUGUUUACUUAACAAAAAUAAAUGGGAAUGAGAAUGUGCUGGAAUGUCAUUGAUGUGUUUACUUGGCAAAAUAAAUGGGAAUAAGAAAUGAGAAUGAGAAUCAAUUUACCAAAAUAUCCAUAGUAUUAAUAAUUAAUAAAAAUAAUUAAUUUAUCAUUAUUAACAAUAUUAUCAUUAUUAUUAUUAUUAUUAAAAAUAAUAAUAACAAUAAUUAAUAAUAAAUAAAAUAAUAAAGUUAAUAAAAUUCAAUAAUAAUAUUUUUAUUAAAUUAGUUAUUAUUAUUAUUAUUAAUUUUUUUAUUUAUUAAUAUUAUCAUUAUUAACAUUUGUUAUUAUUAUUAUUAUAUUUUAUUAACUUUAUUAUUUUAGUUAUUAUUAAUUACUACUACUAUUAUUUUUAUUAAUAUUAUCCUGCUCAUUAUUAAUUAUUAUUAUUAUUAUUAUUAAAUUUUAUUAACUUUAUUAUUUUAGUUAUUAUUAAUUAUUGUUAUUAUUAUUUUUAUUAAUAUAAUAAUAAUAAUAAUAAUAAUAAUAAUAAUAAUAAUAAUAAUAACAACAACAACAAUAAUAAUGAUAAUAUUGUUAAUAAUGAUAAAUUAAUUAUUUUUAUUAAUUAUUAUUUUUAUCAUUAUUUUUAUUGUUAAUAAUGAUAAUAUUAAUAAAAAUAAUUAAUAAUAACUAAAAUAAUAAAUUUAAUAAAAUUUAAUAAUAAUUAUUAUUAUUAUUAAUGACAUUUAAAAUAAUAAAAUUAUUUGUGAUUUGAACAAGGGUAAUUUAGGAAAUAUGAAAAAAAUUAUAAGGAUAGAAAAGUAAAUUUGUGUUUCAUUUUCAUUCCCAACCCUCCCAUAGAAAUUAGAUUCCUAUUCUUUAUUCCCAAAUUAUGUGGGACCCACACAAUUUAUUCUCAUUCCCAAAUUCAAUUUUGUCAAGUAAACAUAUCUUUGAUUCUCAUUCCUCCAUUCUCAUUCAUUAUUUCAAGAAGUAAACACACCAUAAAUGGUUGCUUGCAUGGAAAGUUUUGCUCGGUGGUUGGGUUUUUCUAGAUUUUUUUUUUAUAAAGAAAGUAAGCCUUUCAUUAAUUCACAUCAGUAAAAAUAUUUUAUCUUUGCUGGGAGAGAGUCCAGUCAUACAACAAGACUAUUGUGUCUUAAAGUUAAUUUAGCUAAGGAAAGGGCAUAAGCAUUACAUAAUCUAGAGAUGCACUGACAUUUUACAUGUUGAAAAUCUUUAUUGUUACUUUGGAUUUUUGAAAUUAUCCACAAGAUUUCUGAUUUGCUACCCUGCUUGUUGUUUACUAAGCUUGCAACAUUUUGGCAGUCAAUUUCUACGACUUUAGAUUGGAACUCUGUAUUUCUGGCUGCCUGAAAACCCCAUUUUAUAGCUUCAACCGCUACAUAUUUAACAUCUCCAUCAAGUUGAGUUUGCUGAAUUGCUGCAACUAUUAUUUUGUUAUAUGAGUCCCUAAUUACAACUUCCAAGCUUGCUAUAGUCUCAUCACAUCUAAUGGCUGCACCUACAUGAACCUUGACAACAUGAGCAGGGAGGGGACUCCACUUUUGAUGCAUUUUAGAUAGCUUACUCUCUGCAAAACUUUAUUCAAAUUUCUUAAGUAUCUUAAAGGCAUCCAUCACUAGUUAUGCCUUUGCAACACUUUCCAUACAGUAGAAACUUUUCUUAUCAAAAAUCCACAUCAUAAAACACAAAAUCCAGCAAAAUAAAAUUAACAAACGCAGAUUUGUAAAUAUGGGUAAAGAAACAAUAACAAACCACCACAAAUCUCUAGAUAUGAGUGGAAGAAUAUACCACCACAAUUUUAAAAAUCUGAGUGGAAAAACAAAACCACCACAUAUAUGAGGAUUUGAGUGGAGAAAAAGCAAAAAAAAAAAAGGAAAUGAAAAAAAAAACAAGGUUUCGUUGGAAAACCAACUCAUAGAGUUGAUUUUUCGGCGAAAAAAUAGUUGAAAUGUUUCUGGAUGUUUAAAGGGAUUUGUUAUUUUGAAUUUUUCUAGAUGUUUAGUUGUAACAAGAAUGAGGAUUUGAGUGGAGAAAAAGAAAAAAAAAAAAGGAAAUGAAAAAAAAAACAAGGUUUCGUUGGAAAACCAACUCAUAGAGUUGAUUUUUCGGCGAAAAAAUAGUUGAAAUGUUUCUGGAUGUUUAAAGGGAUUUGUUAUUUUGAAUUUUUCUAGAUGUUUAGUUGUAACAAGAAUAGGAUUGGGUUUUUGUUUCAACUAUCAAUUAAUUAUCAUAUAAACAUGAGCUAAAAAUUAUUUUUAAAAAAUAGAUGCGUGAAUAUAAUAUAACACAUAGAAGAUAUUCACGCUCACUCUUUCUAUAUAUGUAUCUCAUAUUUAGUUCAAAGUUUAAAAUCUCAAUUUGGAUCAUUAUAAAUAAGGGAGACUCAAACCCUCUACCAAGACAAUGAGUGCAAGUAAUUUACCCCCCUCCCCAAAAAAAGAGUGAUUUUAGUUAGAUUCAUAUUUGUUUUUAAAUGUAAUUUUAUCAGAAGGGGCGUCUUUCAAGGAUAACGAUGGGUGUUGUUGAUAGGAGCACUCUUAAACAUCGAUUAAUCAAAUGUCAAUUGGGCUGGGCUUGUGGGAUUGGGCUUUGGUGCAAAAACAGUUCAAGACAACCAAUGAUUUUAAUUUUUUUUGGGGACAAAUUAAUUUAAAAAAAAAAAAAAAAUUGAAACGAUAUCUUGAUACAUGUCCAUAUUCCGUUAUGAAUUAUCAAUCGAGGUUGAAUUUAGUACCCAACUCCGACCCAUUUUGAAUUGGUCCUAAAAGAAUUGACCGAAACCCUAAAUCCAAACACGCACAGCAUUAUCGCGCCUCAUUACAUAUUCAUGAAAUUUUCAGUUUAGUUUCAUAUCAUAAAAUUCUUUCACUUGGGGAAGCACCAACUUGAUGAGAGAUUCUUUCUGUCAAUCAUCAGAAAGAAUCUUACAUGCAUGGCAAAUGUUUUAUAGUCAUGGGAUUUCUAAUGGUUUACAUAUAUAUAUAUAUCUAAAUUACAUUUGUAUACGUUAAAUUUCCAGUAAGAGAACUCUUACUAACUAGAUGCUUGAUUUUUUUUCUUUUCUUUUUUCAAAUGUUUAUAUGAAUAUUUUUAUAAAAACUUACACCAGCUGUCUUAAAUAGGUGGCGACCCAUAAUUCUUAAUCUAAUUGGAAAAUAAAAGAAAUAAUGAGAAUAUAUUAUAAAAUUGACUGAGAAGUAUAACCUCACGUACACACCACGCUUGUUAAAUUACCAAACAAGUACCUUUACCAACUUUUUUAACAGGUAAUUUUCAUGUAGUCCUAGUUCUAUCAAACAUCUCAUCGUAUUAUAUUAUAUAUAAAUUAAUUAUUUCAAAAUCUCGUUUGAAAAUAGAUUUUCCAAGAAUCGAUCAGACGCGGCGACACCAAACACAGCCAAAAUUUUAUAAGAACACAGGUGAUUGCUUAGGAUUCUACUGGAAGCACUUUCUCGUUUAAGUGCUUUUGCAUGAAACAAAGGUUUCCAUUUUCAAAGACGCGUAUCACAUAUUGUGCUGAAAUUGGUUUAACUACCCCACCACAGAGACAAUGAUAUCCACCAGAAAAAUUAGUGGGGUUCCAAAAAGAAGUUGGCCAUGAUUGUCAACCUUCUAUCAUCCCACAAUGCACAUAUUUUCCUUCUCCAUUAGCGAAAAAGAAAAUAUAUCAUCUUAUUUUUCUUGCAUGAAUAUAUCAAUCAAUUAGUUUCCUUAUAUAUAAUUUGAUUGGUGAGCUUUUUUGACUGGAAAACUACAAGGGAAAAGUGUGAAUUCAAUUUUUAGAUUGGAACAAAGAAAUAAAGCUAGUGGGGAGAAUUCUUCUGAUGCAUUUUCUUUGAGGAUAGCAUUUUGAGCUGGUAUAGCAAAUUUGUGGACUCUAAUAAGAAUGUUUAUAUUUAAAUUUCCUAUAAAUCUAAUAUCUUAGCCCCAAUAGACACCUUUAAUUAGGAGUAAUCCAAGACAGACUGAUAAAAAUUAGUAUUUUUUUUAAAAAAAAAAAGUUUAAAAGGCCAUUUGCUUUGUGCUUUUUCUUUUUGUUAUCUUUCAUCAUUUGGGGAUUGAAAGAGGAUUGAAAAUGGUGCCAAUAACUGUAGAUAUUGAUUAAAACGCAAUAGGUGCAAUCCUGAUCACCCAGCAGGCCAAAAGGAACCUUUAAAAGGUAAGCAAGAAACAAAGAAUUUGAAAAUGAAAUUGAUAAUUUCUCCACUUAAUUACAUUCUUAUCUUGAAUCCCAAUUCUAAACAGAGAUAUUAAAAUACACCAAAGUCAACAAAGCACCUUGAUUAAUAAUUGGAAUAAACUUUUACAAAACACUGAGCUAGCUUAAGUUGCAACCCUUUCCCCACACAGACAACUUUAAUUUAUUCACUGUUAUGUCAAAUUGAACAGCUGACAAAUCACUGUUAUGUCAAAUUGAACAGCUGACAAAUUUCCUAAAUGCCUCAAAAGCUACAACCACAUUGCCAUGGGAUCUGCAACAACAUGACUGAAUUGAAAAAAAAAUCCAUCUUCAUGCAUGGUAUUUUAUAUAGAACAUAUUAAACAAGAUUAAUCCAAUUAAAAAUAUGUUACCAGAAACAAUUAGCUCGCUAGGUAGCAAUCAGAAGAAUGCCCGGCUGCCAUAGAACACCCGUGAUCCAUCCUUUUUCUUCUUCUGAUCGAGCCCAAUCUUAUUGCUGUUAUUUUGAAUCACAUCACCGUGGUGAUCAUCUUCGCAAUCCGGUUUGUGAUGAUCAAGAUCCAUUGGUAGCUUCAUUUUAGCCAAAGAUUCCGUAAACUGUUGCAUACUUCUCAUGUACAUGUCCACAAUUUGCUGCUGCAUGGCUGACUGCUCUGCCUCGAGAUUUAUUGUCCCCAUAGGAGCUGAAAACACUUGAUGACGAUGACCAAAUUUAGCAGCGGGAUCAAUAAUAUUGUUUUCUAAUCCCUUCUUGCUGCUUUUUUCUUCUUCUUUUUCUUUGUGUUUUUGGUCUUUGGCUUCAGAUUCCUUUCUUGAAGUUGGAGUGUCCGGACAGGUUCCUGAGCUCGGAAUAUUAGCAUCACUUAGACCCAAUUGGUUCUUUUUCGGAACAGAAUCAGCCGAUGAGUUUCUAUCAUCACUCAAGCUAGUGGUGGUUGAACUCAAGAAACCUGAAUUCUGAAUGCUAUUGCUACCAUUUGGUGAAUUUAUUGCCGUCAUUUCAUAAUCAUUAUCAACAAGCUGAGGCAGAAGAGGAGGAGGAGGAGGAGAAGUGCCGAGAUGAAGAAAUGAUGCAGCAGCAGUACCGUCAAAGUACUCAGAAACCAUCUGCUGAUUCUCUCUGACAACUUUGAUGUCAGGAAACUCAAUUCUUGAAUACUCAACAGGGUCCAAAAGCGCUGCGGCUUCUGAGAUCUUUGAUCUGUCAAGCAAUACAACUUCUGAAGAUAUUGAAGAGUUAAUGUUACUGGUGGGUGGAUUAAGAGUCAGAGGAGUGUUCAAAGAGAGAGAUAGCUUGACAGUGCCAGCAGGGGAAUGAAAGAGAUCGGUGGAAGAGAGAUUGUAAUCUUGAGUAACAACUUUUCCAUUGCCAACAACUUGUGAAAUUGGCACCAAAGCAAAUCCAAGAAGCUGAUCUUCCAUGUAGUUUCUAGCUCUGCUAAGCAUCCAGAUUUCACAUUUCAGAACGGCGCCGUCGAGUUGAUUGAUUUUGAUGAUCAGUUUCUCAUUGAACUCAGGGUUCUUGCCACCUCCAUUGAUGACUUGGGUUGAGUGAGUCUCAUCAGGAUUGUAGGUGAGAGAGAAUUUUGCAUACACGUCUUGGUUGUCGUAGAUACAAAUGUUGUGAAUAUUUCUCGCAUGAUGAACGAAGAUUUCAAGAAUCCCCGAAAAUUCAGAGUCGUUGAAAGAAUCCAUCUCAAGAAAGUUGAUUCAAAGAGGAGGAAAAUAGGAUUUUGAGAGAGCAGAAUGAAUGAUGUAGCUAGUGUUUGUUUAUUAUUAUGAUCAAUUGUAUCACUUUCAAAUUGUGGGUUGUUGGGUAAGUUAACAAAAUCAUUCCAUGAAUUCAAGGUAAAGAUUGGCUCACAAUGGAAUAGAAGAGGUGGGUUUUGUGGUAGGUAAGAAUGAAAAGGGUUAAACAAAAAUAGAAAAGAAUCAAAGAAGAAGAAGAAAUUGAUAAUGGUGAUGAUGAUGUUAUGUGUUUUUUUUUUUUUUUCCUACCUUUUAUCCAUGCUGUCAUUUUACUUUUGGACAUCUUUCAUACUCAUUUUUAACACUUAUUGGGGACAGUUUAAGAUUGCAGUGGUUAAAGAAAUAAAUUAUUUCUGCAAUGUGGAUAAAAUAAGUUAUUGAUUAAAAGAGUAAAUUGGUAUUUUAAAAUUUUUGCUGUUACAGUUGCUGUGAGUUUAAAAAAAAAUACAUUAGUUUAAUAAAUUUUAUCACGAAAAUUUUAUUUUAUUAUAUAUUGAUCAAAUAAACAUAAAUUUAAAUUGCAUUUUAUUAUAUAAUUAUCUUAUUUAUGAAAAAAGAAGAAGAUAUAAUUAUCUUUUUAUUAAUAUUUUAAUGUUAAAAUAAAAAUUUCAAACAGUUAUGAUAACUUGUUCAAUAAGCUACUUAUAAAAAAAACAAUUCAUUUCCUACCGUUAAAAAUUACAAUAAAAAUGAAGAAACAUGUGCUGCUUUUAAGACAUUUCCUAGACACCAAUUUUGUCAAAUUUUAUAAAAUAAGUUGUUGAUAGCAUUUUAACGUCAAUCUUAACUGGGGAUAAAAGAUUUUUUUCCAGCAUUAGAAAUAAAUUCUUGGAAAAUCCAAAAGUAAAUAAACAGACAGGUGAAAAUUUUUGUUAUGAACAAAUAGUAUUACUGUGAAAUUUAAGUAGAAACUAAAAUUAACUUCUUUAUGAAAGAUACCCAUCUAUUGUAAAAUUAUUUUGUCUCUCUUUUGGGGUGGGUGGGUGAGGGAUAGAGAUUUAUGGGGCGAUUACUUUGCUUGACAUUGCAACUUCCACUAGUAGUGCCUGUAUUUUCUCCACCGAGGGAAAUGGAGGUCCCCCAGUUUGGGCCCAUCUUCAUUAUCACUCCAUCUAAAAUAAAAGAAAUGCUAUUCCAAUCUUUAAGACAAAAUCUCUUUAUUUUUGUGGGAGGAAAAUGCAUCUCCACUUUCAUACUCUAUUGACAAAAUAAACAAACUAUGUAAAUUACAAUGAAAGUGAGAAGAUGUGAAACUCCUACUUCAAGUUUGUAAUACUUUGAAUUAAGCUCUCUUAAUUAAUUCAAAAAAAUAAUGUUGCAAUGUGGACAAUUGUAUGGCCUUGCAACAUGUAUAAAAGUUUGUAUCAAAAAAAAAAAUUAUCUAUGUAUAAAGUUACCAUAUUAUGUCUAAGUUAUUAUGUAAUUUGAGAUUUAUAGUAAUGAUAUAACAUUGUCUCACUAAAAUUUAUUAAAGUAGAUAAGUUAUAUAAGAGUUUGUAGCUUUAAUAUAUUAUCAAUCACAUGGAUCUGUGUUAGCUUACAACUGUUGUAUACGAUGAGUUUUCGUUACAUUUUGUAACUUAAUUGCAUGUUUUUUAAAUUCUAUGUUACACAUUCCAAGCAAGGUAUAAGUUCAUUAAUAUAACGAAAUUUUAUAGUUACAACAUACUUGUAUGAAGAAAAUUAUUUUGUUACAGUUGUAUCAUACAAUUAAUAUAAUGUAGGGUCCGUUUGGGAUUAUUUUGAAAGAGUCAAAAGUGAUUAUGAAAAUCUAAAAGUUAAUUUUGGUAUUUGGUAAAUUUUUUAAGAAAUUGCUUUCGGCAAAAUCACUCGUCCUAUAGUAAAUUUUGAAAAACAGAGAAAUAGAACUUUUCAAAGGGUAAGGCUAUUUGAACCCACAAUAGUAUACUUGACACCCAUGUUUUUGUAAUUUUUUUUAUUACUUUAAUAGCCUUAAGUGAAAUUACUCAAAAGUUAAAGGGACAAAAUAGAUUAAAAUAGCAUAUACACCCAAUCUAUCACGAUUCAUAAAUCUGCCUAUUUUCUUUUCAUAAAUUUUUAUUCAAAGUAAGAGAGAAAGUUUCAUGAUAUUAAACUUACUAAUUAAUUAUGUAUUCAAGUGUAAUCUAUGCAUUUCUGGUAACUAGUUACUGAUAAUCAGUGUCCCUAAUUGUGUAUUUGGUGUAAAGAUACAGGUGCGGAAGGAAAGGCUACACAAAUACAGUUCUUUGAUCUUUUCAUGCUUUUAAAGUUACAAAAUUUAUAUAUGAGUUGAUAAAGAAUGAAUUUUCUCUUUUUUAGUAUUUACAUCACAUCACUGUCGUUUCUUGUUCAAAUCUUACUAUUGUGCAGCUCGACAUGAAUUUUCUUUUUCCUUCCUUUUUUUUUUUUUUCUCUUUAAUCAAAUGAUGGCAAGCAACUCAAAAGUUCUGUUGAAUUUUCAUAUGAUUUGAAAGAGUUUUAUGGCCAUUUCCACUUCUAACUUUUCAUAAACAGCAAUUUGUCUUGAUGGAAAGGGGAAAAAAAAUUCUUCAUGUGUGGGUUGGAGAAGAAAGAAGAAAAAUGAAUAAAGGAGUAAAUUGGAAUUAAAUUUAAAAUUUAAUGGGUCUUAAAAGAAAAAAUGUGAUUUUUAAAAUUUCACGAUGAGUGUAUUGAGAAAUUGGGUGGAGAGAAUAUUUUUGUGGGUUUAAAUAGCCCCACCCCUUUUCAAAAUGUGAUUUUGAAAAUUACUUUUAUACUUAAUACAAUUCUAUAUAUUUCCUCAUAUAUAUUGUAAAAUUCAAAAUUAUCAUUAUUAAUUAAGAAAUAUAAUCAUUAUUUGUAAAGAGAAUAUUAUUGUUACUAACUAUAUUGAAAUAACAAAAUAAAAUAAAAUGAGUAAUAUAAAUAUUUAUUUUUGUUAUUGAUGAUUUUAUAUAUACAGACACACACACACAAAAAUAAAAAUAUUUUAUAUACAUGUUUAUAUAAGUAUAAAUAAAUUUUAUUCAACAUUAUGUCUAAUUCAGUCAUUUAUAUUCUUACAAUAGUUUAAUUAUAAGAUUUACUAAAUACACACGACUGCUCUUAAAAUUGACAACACUUUUAAAAAUAAAUUUUACUAAAUAUUUAGCCGGUUUCCGUACGUAGCUUAUUACUAUUACAACAUAGUUAAUAAAAAUUAUUUUUAAAACUACAAUAUUACUGAAAUAAACCGUAGUAUCCCCUAUAACAUUUGCAUAAUUGACAUUUUUCUACCUGAAAAAAUUGGAGGCACUUGAUUUCCAGACAACUCUCUUCCAUUAUCAACAUAAAAUUCGUUAACCUAAGACAUUACACAAUGAACUCAGCGCGGGCACGCGUGUAGUGUAUACAUGUAGUCUAAAAUAUAUUUAUGAUGUUAUUAGAAAUGUUGCCAUAGAAUAGAAUUUCCAAUAAUAUAUAUGAUUAUCUGUGAACAUUCGUAGAAAUGAAGUCCUUAGUAGAUUUGUCGUCACCUAAUUUAGGUAAAAACUUGCUUAAAUUCAAAGUCAUAAAUCAAAUUGUUGUAUUGCGCAACGAACCGCUCAUUCAUUGUUUGUCAAAACGAAAAUGCUGGCAAUGACGACGUUGAUAGCCAACAUAAUUUAAAUCUGUGUUCACAUGUAGAAUCAACGCAAGGAAUUUAUGGGUGAAAUUAUUUACACUCUAAAAAAAAAAAAUUACUUUGAAAACUUUAAUUUUAAUAAAUAUAUAUAUAAUACAAGUAUGUAUACCCAUCAUAUAAAUUAUGAAUAUUACAUAAUUAUUUUGAAUAUUCAUUUAUCAUACUGAUUAUUCAAUGUAUCAUUCUCAUAUUUUUAAACCUUAAAAUUUUUUUUUUUUUCAAAAUUUUAAUUAAUACUUAGAUGAGAAAUGAGGAAAUCAAUAUUAUAAAAAAAAAUUGACUAGAAAAUAUAUAUCAUAUUCUUUUUAAAAAAUAACAUUAAAAGGUUCUUCUACUCCUUUUUCUUUUUAUUUUUCUUGGUGGUAUUUAGAGAAUAAUUUUUAUUAUGUUCUUGCAAUUUAUCUUAAAUAUAAAAUCCAAUAUUUUACCGAAAUAAAUUAAAAAUUAAUAUCAAAAUGCAAUAUAACACGUAAAAUGUUUCUGAUUAAAAAAAAAAAAACAAGAAGAAAUUGCACCAUACAAUAACGCAACGGACAAUCAUCAUUCAUGAAAAUGGGUUAACCGAUAAAUAUCCAUUGAGAAAAAAAAAUUAAAAAAAAGGUCUGUACACAUUGAUGACUGUGGGCAUGCAUCAAUUUCAGUUAAUUUUCUACUAAACUACCCUUUGAGUACCGUGAAACGCACGAUAUGGUUCAGGUACAAUCGUAAAUUAUUGAAAGCCUACAUUUCCAAGAAGUUUGUCGAAUGAAACGAUACAACAUACCAGUGAUAACUGAUCACUGGACAUCUGACCAGCUAACAUGUAAUUAUUUCAGAGUUAAAAGCAAGGAAAUACUGUACAACUAUGGAUCAAAUACAAGGUGUCCAGCUUACUGGCUACAGCGAGCCUCAAGGUUCCGUCCCAGCCUUGCCAAAUGCUGUUGAUGCUUCGCAGCAGCUGCCUUAUCAGCAGCUUCACGUUUAAGUGCCCUCUUUGCCCGUCGCCCAGUUGUGACUUUUGCAACUUCUUUCUUCUUGGGCUCGCGAGAGGAACUGGCACCCACGUCCUGAGAAUUUGGACAGUAAACAGGCCUUGCUUCUUGACGCCCUGCCCUAACAUAUCCAUUAUCACCCCACCUUCGGUUACCAAUACGAAGACUUGAUGAACUGCGGAAGUAAACUUCAUCCAGAUCAUCCUCUUCAUCCUCGUAGGAAUAAUCAUCUUCCAGAUCAUCUUGUACCACUACAUGAUCCUCCACAAUCAAAGGUUUAAACCAUGUGGCUCUAAGAAGUAAGCACACACUCUCCUCGAACAUGUAAUCACUGAUGCUGUUAUAUGACAAAGUAUUAAUGAGUGACAAUUUUCCAUACAAACAUAAACUUAAGGAACUGAGUAAUCGCAUUUAAGAGUUACAUUUCUUUACCACCCACUUUAAGGUUACAUACAUUUAUAACAAAGUUCUGAAUUGGGUUAAAUAAUUACCAAUUACUUCUUUUUCCCCCUUUUUUUGGCCAUAUCGUAUAUUAGUUAUCAAAAUUGUGUGUGUUUAGGAUCACGUAUCUAAAAAACAACUUGAAAGGGUUUGGUGAUUGUUACCUGCCAUCAAGGGAACGGUGAACAUGGAGGAACUCAAAUGGAUGUUUACACUGUGGGCAGGUUGGAUUCCUAACAUAUGAGGCCCAUCGAAGGAUGCAAGUUGCGCUGCACAGAACAAAGAAAGAACGUCCAUUACUGCUACCAUUUCAUGUCGUUGACUCAAAACAUUUGGGGGAAAAAAUCCAUCCAACUUUCCAUCCUACAUGAUUCUUUCUAUGAAGUCAAAAUAAUCAUUUUUUUUCCCUCAAUUACAAGGAGAAGAUAAAAAAUAGAAUAUACGAAUUAGUUCCAAGAGCCGGUUGUACCAUGCUCGUUACGGAAAGUGACAUUCUAGCUCUCAUUAUAUGAUAUAAGAAUUUACAAAAUAUCUUGGAUUCCAUAUAAUUUUCAUACAAGAGAUGGUAAGCUGAAAACCCCACAUAUUAACUCAUAGUCCUGCAUAGAACUCUAACCUAUAAUACGAAGAUGAUCAACGAGUCUUCAUGUAUGUCACAGUUCCAAAACCAACAAGUCAUGAGGCUGAUUAUAUUAAGGAAACCUCUAACUACGAGACAACACAAAUAGAUUGAUUCUUGCAACAGCAUUUUUGAGUUUUUCAAAAUUUUCUCCUUUUUUACCAGAACAAAUGCCUAAGAAAACAAGCAGAUUGUCUCUGUAAAUUGAAUUAACAAGUUCUAUUACUAAAAAAAGGGUAACAAGGAAAAAAAAAUCCAAAAAAUAAACAUAUUAAAAGUCCAUUUCAAUUGCAUGGCACAACAUUAAAUUGAAGAAUUGACUGUACAAAGAAGGUCCAACAAUAUAUAGGUAUGAAAAGGAAAUUGAAUCCAAACCACAAAACUAAAAGCAUACUUCACUCGUGUGUACAAACUACACGAGUACACGUUGAUACUCAUUUACCAUCAAAUAUUGCAGCAUUGAUUACCGAAGAAGCUUCUAACAUAAACGGGGACAUCUGAGAACUUAUCUGGUUUUAAUUCCAGUCUAGUCACCUUUGGGUUUAAAUCCCUUCUAGUCAAAUAUAACAAUAUAUCUCCAAAAUAACUCUUUAAAUAUAAAUGACUCCCAUGCCAAAACAAACAGCAGCUUUGGCAUGCUUCAUAACCAAAAAAUACUGACCAACUCAAUAUUCCACAGAGGAACACAAAUCCACAUAAAACGUUAGUUUUUAUCUUCACAGAACGGCCUAAAGCAUAGAUGAUAGUCAUCACAAAUUCGUGAAACAAAACAAAUGAGUAAAAGUGAGUAAACUAACCAGAAAAACUAAAAGAUCAAGAGAAAGGAAAAGAAUAGCAAGUAAAAAGGAAAACUCAACAUAAGCAUAAGAACAGCAUGGCUCUGAAAAUAAAAACCUGAACUCUAUUGUCCUUAGUUGUUUCUCAAGACCCUUUAUGAGUCACUCAAACAUACAAGCAAUGUGAGACACUAAAGCAAGCAUCACUUAGAGCUCAAGAAAGGAUAAAGAACUGCAAAGUGUACCAACUAUGGAAAACUUCGAACUCUAAUCAAAUACCAGUCAAUAGACAAGGCAGCCAUUUCAAACAUAAAACAGAACAAGGUUAAAGUGGGGGCCAAAAUGCCCAAUCAGAUGGUAAACCAUACAUUUAACUGUGAUCAAUUUUCGCCUCACUUCAGUUAUCUCCCUCUUAAGCAAAAUUGAAACCUAACCGGCUAACCCUGCCAAUAACCUAACAACUUCAUCAGAACCACACAAUCCUAGAUAUCCUAAAACAUACAUUCUCUAGGGGAAAAAGUCCAAGGCAACAAUGUAAAUAAUCAAAGACUACUAAACAGAAAUAUUUCAUAUUACAAGCAAAAGAAUUAGAUAACUAGAGACAUGAGAGAAACCAGCAGAUGUCCAUCGGAGAAACUGUAGACAAGAAAACAAUUCAAAGAAUGCCCCCAAGGCAAGCUCUAUCAAAGUUACAUAUGCAACAGACAUAGUAUUAUAGCGGAGAAACUCCAAUAAACACUCAUCAUGAUGCUUGACAAGAGAAUUAUUCAACAACUAACAACUACAGGGCCUAAGUUCAACUAAAACAUAUACUUGCAUCAAAGCCAAGUCCACACUCCAUAUAUGCUUACAUAAACCAUAUUUUCUCAAUUCUUACUGCAUUUAACUUAAUUUAUUUUGAUUUAUUUAUUCACUGAAAAUUUAUUUUGAUUGCAAAUUCUUCUAUCAUUGGUUAAAAUUAUUUAAAUACUAGAUACAUAAAUACACUCAUAUGCCGAGUACGAAGGGUGAGAGAGAGAGAGAAGAGUUGCAGUAACAGCAAGAUAGUUAAGAUUUGUGACCUCGAAUCCAAGGCCUAUUUCAGAUGUCCCUAAACACUCUUAACUUAUCAAAUGCGCUAAUAAAUAAUCUUCACAGGAAGAUAGGGCAUAAUAACAGAAUUUGUGAUGCAUAAACUCCAUUCCGAAUAACACAGCAAAAAGAUGAGAGAUUUGAUUAGAACAAACCAGUAAGCGUGCUCGCAACCUUUUACAAGAGCCGUUUCCUGGAGAACUGUCUUGUCCAAGCAUAUCGCGCAAACCCCUCCAUGAUUCCCAAACCCCAUUUCGCGAUUGUCUGCUUUACUUUGCAUUUCUCCCUAAAAAUGAGAGGAAAAAAAUCCAACUGUAUAACUUCAACACUAGAAUGAAAUAAAGAUGAACCUACAAUCACAACCAAUCAAUGAUAAAUGACCAAAGCUUAAAAACGGUUUCUCUAAACAGCAAACUAACAACAACAUUGAUCCCCAAAACAUCGAAAUUCGCCUCAAUUCAUUACUUCACAGAAUCAAACCCAAAAAGGGCAAAAAGAAGAAGCAAAUUUUGCAUCAUAAAUGUACAAAAUGUUGGAACCUGAGAGACUUUUAAAACAUUUUGAGUGCAAUCUCUCUUCUCUCAGUAAUCCCACGAUUUUUCCAGAGCCAAAACUAAGCACUAACGUUGUGUUUUGUACCUGAUAAAAAGCAGGGAAAUUUAAAAAAAAAAUAGAAAACAAGACACAAAACAAAAGAUUCAAUCUUAAGUUUUUCUUUUCAUUAAUACCUAAAAUAGAAACCGACCAUUUUCAAAUCUAUAAACAAUACUCACAAUUUCUCUGAAUAUCAAACAAAACAGCCGCACAUAUUUUCUCAGAGACCAAAUCAGAUGAAAAAUAUAACAAAAAUAACAACUAAUAUCUAUUCAAUUUUAAUAGAUCUGCAAGUAGAAUCCUAAGGGAACAAGAAGUAAAAUAUAAAAAAUAAAUAAAGAAGGUACCUGAUCCGAAAUGGAUAAAUUGUCAAGACCUUUGACUAGCUCUUCACCGUCGAUCUUGCUAACCGAAGAAGCCAUGAUGGUGAUGACGAUCAGAUAACAAAAAUUAUAACAAAAGGGGGAGUUUGAAUUCUGCUUGUUCUAUAAUAUAACUAGUAAUUUAAAAUUUAAAAGAAAUUUUUUGUACAGAAAAGAUAUGCUUCAGAAUUAUUCUGAUUCCAAUAGCGCGCAAAGGAAGAUCCUCUUGUUUUGGGGUAUCAAAGGCCCAAACAGUUUGGCUUGGAUGUGGUUGACAUAAAUACUUGGCUUUCAAUUUUUUUUUUUUUUUUGGACUUUUUUGAGACAAAAUAAUAUUUGUAUCCCUAUUGUUCUGUAAAAUCACACAAAGAAAAGAGAUAACUCACAUUAACUUAUCUCGUGCGAGUAUUUAUCGUUUUUUUUUAAAUAUUAAUGUAUUACAAUCAUAAUUCUAUUGAUAUUUAUAAUUAGAUAGCUAGAUAAAAUCUAAUUCAACUUACUAACUCAAUAUGAUAUCUAAUACAAAUAAUUAUAUUUUGGUGAUUAAAAUUUAAUAAAAUUAUUAAAUAGAUUAUGUCUAUACUAAUCUAAUUAAUAAUUAUAUAUGUUCAAAUUUAAAAUUUUUGGCACACGAUAACUCAUAUUAUUUAAUCCAUUAUAAUACAUUGACUCAUAUUUUAGUUAACAGGCAUGUGUUACACUUGUCAUAUGUUUGAAACUCAUUUGUUAUACAAUUGUCAAUGUUAGGUCAUCGUUUUAAUUAAUAGGUUGGUUGUUUUUGUUAUAUAAUUGGAAUGCAGGUACUCAUAUGUUAUUAUCCUUUUAUUUUUAUGUUUUUUUCUUUCUCCAAUUUAACGGGGUGAUGUACGAUAAGUUGACAGGUAGCCCUAAGAUGCCACGUGGGAUGUUAAAGUCUCAACACGUUUUGAGUUUUUUUAUUUAAUUAUUAUUAAUACUUUUACCAAUCAAAAGUGAUGGGCUCUUGAGGGUUCCAAGUAUAAUCUUAAGGUGAAAGGGUAAGAGUUCUGUCCUAUUCUAAAUUGGCGGUUCGAGGAUUGUUGAAAGACACUUGUCAUAUGACUAAACAGUAACACGCGGCUUAUGGGACUUUUCCCUUUCAUUAGUAUUUUCAGUGUUCGGUUUCAUCUAACUGAGCUUUCAAUAUUAGCCUUGGGCUUUAAUAGUAAUUUACUACACUUAUCAAUUUUUUAAACUUUGAAGUUUUUAUUGAAACUGUAAUUUCUUUAGGAUUAGGAUACUCUACUCAUCGGAGCACCAUGAGCUUUUAACAAUAUUAAUUCUUCACCUUAUAAUGAGGUUUUUUUCAGCUAUUAAUUUUGUGCUUUUGCUCAUAUAAAUGGAGUUUAUAUUCUAAACCUCUUUUAUCAUUUUCAAGAGAUAUUUUCGGUUGAACAGAUCAACAGCUACCAGGAAUAUUAUCAUUACAUAACAUCAUAUUAACAGCGGUAAUACUACACUUUUCUAAUAAUAUUUAAAAGAACUCAUUUCAUGUGGUAUUGUCAAGUAGAUGAUGAAAAUUUAUUAUUUAAUAAAUUAAUAUACAUCCCAUAAUUAAAAUGAAAUAUCUUGAAAUAUCAAUAAUUAAUAAUUAAUACUUCAACUUAAUCAAUGAAUAUCGGUUCACUUAGUGACCGGUUUCUCUUUGUUCUGCUUCAUUUUCCUCCUUAAUAAAAUUUUCGACGGACUCGUAUAAAGAAACGCCAUAUUUUUUUUUUCAUAUAAUAACAAGUGAGGUAUUUCUUAAAAAGACCUUUUUGCCCUUACACAAAUUUUAGAAGUGUAAAAAUCAACUACCAUCGAUGGACAAUGUAAAAAUCUUGACACUUUUGGUUUAUUUGAUUUUAUAGCAAAUAAAAAGGACUUGUAUAUUACAAUAAAUGUGUGUCUUGUAUUGCUUAUCUAAUAGAUAUAAAUGCUUAUUUGGUCACAUAAACUUUUUGAAAUUUUUUGUUGUUGUUUGGUUAUUUUUUUACUAGAGUUUUUAAAGAUUAUAUAAGUUAUUUUGACUGGACUAGUAAAAACUUAAAUUAAAAAGGACUUAUAUAAGUUAAAAAGCUUUUUCAAAUAAGACUUAUUUAAUUGAAGAUUUUACAAAUAGAGCUCUUACCUAAAAAAAUUUAGUUGUUUGGCCGUCACUGAUAAUUUUUUAUUAAAAAUUAUAAAAUUACUUUAAUAGGUACUUUUUUAAAGUUAUGAAAAAAUGAAAUAUAAUUGUCAAAUAAGUAAAGGAUAUUUUAAAUAUUUUAAUAUUAAAAAAAAAUUCAACAUUUACCUUCAAAAGUCCAAAAUUUGAGUUUUUACUAGUAUAUGUAAAACUAACUUACUUAAUUUUUAAAAGCUCUACUAAAAAAUAAUCCAAAAGCAACAAAAAUUGUUAUAAGAGCUAAUGAAAUUAAAUAAACACUUAUGACCAUUAGAUAUGCCAUACUAAACAGACACUUAAAAAUAUUCUUUAUUUAUUUAACAAGCUUUUUUAGAACGUUGAAAAGCUUUAAUAAUCUCAUUUCUUUAACAUAACUUUAAAAAAUUUGGCUAUUAAAGUAAUUUUAUAAUUUUUAAUAAAAACUCUCAUUGACAAGUAAAGAACUAACUAUUUUUUUUUUAAGUUCUAUAAAAGAAAACUCUAUUUAAAUAAUUUUAUUUGAAAAGUUAUAUCAAACAGAACCUAACCUUAAUUAAUAUUUUAAUCGAUUUACCUAGAAUACACUUCACCAAAUAAUUUUUGAAAGAUUUUAUUUAGAUUGAAGAUAUUUACACUCUAAAAACUAUUCCAAACACUUAUUUAUUUUGAACUCUCAUUCAUUAAAUUUAAAAAAUUAACUUUUUUCCCUCAUUAAAAUUCCAAACAUACCCUCAAUACUUUCUCUUUAUUUGUUAAUACAUUCAUGGCUCCAUAACGCACAAGGCAAUUCUGCAGUUUUGCUCUCUACUUGAAAUUGUAUGUAUAUUAUUUUUUUUUCCUGUAAAAUAAAAAAAAAAAAAAGCAUUUUUCUGUUUUUUCUUUUUACCCAGAAUCGAAAUAAAAAAUAAGCAACUUUAAUCUAGUAAAUUAUGAAGUUUUCCAUCAUUUAAUUGAUUUCAAUGCCUUUACAGAACACUAACCUAUCAUGGGAUUUAAUAAUUGAAUCACAUGUGUCUCUGUAAUGAGAAACAAAAUGCAAAAAUUUGAUUGAAUUUGAAAAACACUUGAUUAGUUUUUGAUAAUUGAACUUUUGGAAGUUAUGCGUUUGAUAUUGAGAAUUAAAAAUAGGAUUUAAAAUUCUCUAGUUUUACAAUAUUUCAUAAUUGACAUUUUUUAAUGUUAAAAUGUCUUCAAUAGUAAAUAACAUUAUGAUAUAUUUAUAACAUAAAAUUUUUUUAAAAAAAAUGAUAAAAAAUUGAUUUAGGUAACAUUUAUUUUUUAUUUAAAAGCCGGAAUAUUCAUCCUCCCACUAUUUAUUAAGAAAAAAACUAAAAAAAAAAUAAAAAUUCUAGUUGGUUUUAAAUUUAAACAAAACCCUUCGGCUCCACAGUCCUCCGGACUCUGCAAUCUUUUCGUAAGCUGCAGAACCAUUUUAAUGGAGCAGGACGCAGACCCAUCAAUUAAUCGUACCCAAACAACUGAAACGUCGUCGCCUGAGAACAUCGACGCGCUGCUAGAGGUUUCAUUCUUCACUCUCUCUGCUGGUUAUAUAACUUCACUUUUGAAAUUUACUUAAUCGUUUUGACUUUGACACUGACAGGCUGCUAGAUAUGAUGACAUUGAAGAUGUAAUAAGCUUAGCAUCUGCUGGUGUCCCUCUUGAUUCUAAAGAUUCUCAAGGCCGAACAGGUCAUCUUUAUUGUUGCCUCUUGUUUGUAUCGCUGCGAAUGUGUCUGUUGCUUCUUGGGUUGUUUCUAUUUUUUCAAAGCAUGAUUUCAUAGGUUUCAAGUUAGAAUAUGGAAUUUUGUUAUUUUGUUAUUCUGUUGUUAUGAAUGAAACCAUUCAAAAAUAGACAAAGCAGUUAUGUUUUCCAGGUGCAUUGUAUUGGUGAUUUUGUGGGUUGUUUCGGAAGAAAAGAUAGCGAGGGUUUUGUAUGAUUCUAUAACGAAAGAUGCAAAUAUUUUUGGACACCAUACGAGUUAUUAACUUCUCUUCCGGGCUUCCUUUGAGGAAGUUCAUGGUGCUUUAUUCUUUAUUCAUUUAAAUUGGGAAGCAGUUUGAAGGGGUUUAGGUUGAUUUUUUAUAUUUUUUUAUCGUCCUUGAUGCAGUUUCUUAAGGCUUUCUGAAACAGUUUGAUUCUUCAUCAUAGGCUAGAUAGAAUCAGUCCAUAUAAAAUCUUCAACAUAUUGGGGAUUUACCACAUUUUAAUCUGCUUUUGUGGAAUGCAUGUAUGAUUAUGUUCUGCCAAAUUUGGGGAAAAAAACAAAGGUUUAUGCCAUCCUUUUUAAUUUUUUAUGUUUUUUGUGGUUUCAUGUAUGUUGCACUUAAUUGUAUUGAUGUUUGUGUCCAGCCCUUCAUAUGGCUUCUGCUAAUGGACAUCUUGGCAUUGUGGAGUAUCUUAUCGGCAGAGGAGUGGUAAGCAAUCUUAACGAGUAUCAAUUGACUACUACCAUUCUCUUAUAUCACAAUCAAUCAUUGCUGUAACACAAGGUUCAUUUGUUGGUUUUCACUUAAGUAGCAUGUCCUGGAUCUUUCAUUAUCCUUUGUAGAAUAUCUUUCUGAUUGCUGGAUGUAUCAUAUCCUGAAUAGUGUGACCAUUCAAUUCCAUAUAGAAAAGAAAAUUUCUGGUGUUGGUUUGCUGUCAAGAUGGAAUUUUAUCUGAUUGGAACUAAAGAUAUAUGAUAAGAAAAGAAGGGAUUAUUCACUGUAGAAUUUCUUUCAUCAACGUGUAUGCAUAAAAAAGAUUUUAUUAUCUGAUUUGCAUCUCCCAUAUUGUAAAGAUAAUUACCGCUUGUGUUGCACGCCGCUAGUUAAACUUAGAUUUACUGCACCACUAGUGUAGUUCAACAACACUUUCUCACAAUUCAUUCACUAUUUGCUACUGUUUGUCUUUUUGAACAUCUGCUGGAACCUAAAAGAUCCUGCUUAGUUUAGUUUAGUGAGUAUUCUGUAGUAAAAUUUGUAAAAGAUAGUGAUGCCUUCUGCAUUGGUGCUUAAUUUUAGUAUUUAGAAUGCACCAAACUUCCAAUAAUGAGAGUGGAUUUGUUUUUGUUUCUGUUUCAUAAGUUAGCAUCUUCUAUAUCACCGCCUGUAUAGUGUAGGUUAAUAUACUCUAGUUACUAUUUAAUAUGCUUUAGUAUAGGUUGCCUAAUUAAAUAGGUUACCUAUGGUAACAUUUUACAUUGAUGUUUAACUUGGACAAUUUUUGUGUGCUUGAUUUUGAGCAAUCAGCAAUUCAUUUAUCUGCAGAUACCGUUGAAGGUGAAAUGGUAUUGUCAUCCUACUUAGGCUCUGUUUGGUGCAGUUUUUCAAAUAAAGUUUAUUCAAGUAGAGCAUUUAUCAAAAUUGUUUUAGUUGUUUGGAUGUCAAUGAAAGCUUUUUAUUAAAAAUUGUAGAAUUGCUUAAAAGUCAAGUUUUUAAAGUUAUUUUAUGAAAUGAAUGAAAUAAGAUUAGGAAAUAAAUAAAGGGUAUUUUAAACAAUUUAACUUUUUUUAAAUUGCUCAACAACCUCUCAAUAUACCACCAACAAUCAAAAUUUUGAAAAGAGCUUUAAGAGUAAAUAAGCACUUCUAGCCAACAGAUAAGCCAUACCAAGCAUGCACUUAGCUGAUCAUCCUCCUACUUAGAAGAAUAUGUUAUGUUUGACUAUCGAUGCUCCUCAUAUAUGUACCCUUUUAAGGAAGACAUUCCAAAAGAAGCUAAUGGUUUGAAUUUUGUUUAGAUAAAUUACUUACAUGUUAGUCCAGAAUAUUGGAUUAUUAUGUGUCCUCCCAGGUUGUUGAGGGAGAGGCUUUUAUAAGUGAUCAAGACCUAAAGAAAUAGAGUGGGCAUUGAAUAAAUCCAAACCCUGGCAGUGAUUGUUGCAUUUCCUUGUCAUUUUGAUGUGACAUUACUUGUGCAAUAUGUUCUCUUGAUGAACAACACAUGGAAUCGGUUUAAGUGAAUUACAUUAUGGAAGCUAGAUUGUCAGCAAAAAAGUAAUCCUUGAGUGUCGAAUGUAUGAUGAAAUUUGAAAUGUCCUGAAUACAUUCUAUUUAGGUAAAUACUACUAGUAACUGUAGAAUUCUUUUUCAAUUUUCUUUUAAAUAUUCCAAAAAUACAGACUAAACCCGUCCUGACCUUGAUGUGAGUAGGAUUUGAACCGCAAACCUCUUGUACUCUACAAGAGCUCUUACAAGUUGAACCAAAAAGCACCAUAAAUAGUAAUGGAAAUUCCUUUUAUAUUUCUCUCUUAAGAAUGAAACUGCCCUCCUAAUUGCUUUCUUGCUUGUUAUCACAUAUAUAUAUAUAUAUUCAAUAUAAGUCUUAGCCAUGAUGACAUAUAUGUUCAAGGUAAGUGCAUAGUGUUCAUAUUGUUGUCAAAUAUUCGAAUUUACCUUUCUUUUUAUUUCUUCCGAACAUUGGAUGAUGAGUCUUGUUUGGUUUUCUUUGCUUUUCACGUUUUGCCCUUUACAGCUUUACUUUGGUAUUCUGUAGCACAGUUUUGGAGAUUCUUUACUGCUUCUUUGUAUGGUUGUCAGCUUAACAUGUCUGUUUAAUCUGCGUUUCUCUUAAGUCUACCUAGGACAGAAGUGGACUAUAAAAUAUACUUUUAGUUUUUUGGUAAUCGAUGGCACUUUAAAUUUUUCACUAGAAAACUUUGUUUUCUGAUCUUGUACUCGAGCAGGAUAUCAAUGCUUCUAAUGAAGAGAAGAAUACACCUCUUCAUUACGCUUGCCUCAAUGGUCAUACUGAGGUAAUUACCGCAGUCCAUAUACACAUGAAUUUAUAAUUCAUUUUAUGAGCCCUUCAAUAGAUGAUGAUGGUCACAGGUGGCUAAGAAGUUGGUCCUGUCUGGAGCAAACAUAAGUGUUCUAAACAGGUAUCAUCUCUACCCAUGGCCUAGAGUUUCAUAUAUGUGUUUCUAAUGUUCACAACAUCUCCCCAUAUGUAAUUGAUUUUGUCUCUGUGUGAAUUUCAGCCAUGAGCAGACUCCAAUAGAUGAGGCUUUGAGUAGGGGAAAGAUGGACAUUAUUGAUGCGAUUAAUACAGCAGUUGCACAAUUGGAACUUGGUGGCUUCACGGUUUCUUAACUGUCUCUGAUCGGUGCUUUUCUUUCCUUCGCUCGCCUUUUUGUGUCAGUGUGAAAAUUUUGGUGAUUCUUUAGGUAAAUCCAGUAGUCUUGGUUCAAACUGUGUUAGUGUACUGAGAAUCAGUAACUGUGAGAGGUUGCUUCUCAGUUCUUGAAAUUAUAUAAUUGAAGCUUUAAAGUGUUGCUUUUGUCCUCUUCCCCCAGAAAGGAUCUCAAUUAUUUCUUGGCGCAAAUUAAAAUGGAGAAUGGAUCAAAUGGAUUCUCUUAGGCAAAGUACAAAAUGAUGUGAUAGUGUGAUUACUUUAAUGAUGUAAUUUGAUGUGAUUAAUAUUAUUUAAUUUUUUCAUUCCAUUAAAAUUUGUAACGUGAUAAUAAUAAUGUAAUAAUAAUGCACGAGAGAAGUAUGAUACCAGCACAAAAGAAACAGUUCCUUAAAAUGAUAAUUGUAUUAGAAGCGGGGAUCCCAUUUUGCAGUAGUGUUUCGAAAUGUAGCAAAACUCCAAUGUUGCCUUUGGAACGACAAUCGUUUGCUCUAAAAGAGUUACGAUGGAGUUAAAAAACUCUGUAAAAAAUUAUUUUAUACAAAUUAACGUGGCAUACGUUUUUUUUUUUGAAUAAAAAUUUAAAAUAAAAAAAAUAUGUAGGACAAAAGGUAUUUAAUCUAAUCAUGAAUUAUAUCACUUCUAUUGGUACAAAACAAAUUUGUAUGAGAGUUUAUAAUUUCUAUCAUUAACCAUUUAAUGGGUCGCAUAUUAUAUAUCACAUUAUUUAGGAUGAAAUUAAAAGUAAAAUGUUAGGACGUCUAUCAUUACUCAAACAAAUUUAUAGCUACAAAAGCAUAAGCAUUUACCUACAUCUGCGAAGAACUUGUUUGGCUGCAGAUUCCUUGUGCGAGUAAAUUAUAAACAUAUGAAAAAAAAUGAUACUAAAGAAUAUAGAAAUCCUUGGUCCUUUUACUCUUACGGCAGUACUGGAAUAAUAUCUGUUUCGGAACAUACUGGAAAAAUAUCUUGAAACACCACCAAAAUCAAAAUCUCUGGAUCAAUUAUAACUGAAUUAAGAAUAUAAAACUAAAAUAGAAAAAAGUAUUGGAGAUUGAGGCAUGAGUUAGGUGGCAAAGUACAAAAUUAAGCCCCAUCCCAUUAUGAAUUUAGGGAAUAUUUCUUCUCAUUACUCUAUCGUAAUCCCUGAAAAUCCAUCUUAAUUUCAUCACAUUUGGAGCAGGUGCCCUAAGGUUUUGAACUUACAGUACAUUUGCAAUUCCUAUUUACUAUUAUAACAUUAUUUUCAGUGUAAUAUGAUUUAUAUGUGAAAAAAAAAAAAAAAAAGAGUUAUGUAUGUUCAAAAAAAUUUCACACAACCCAUCCCUAAACACACACACACACACAUAUAUAUAUAUAUAUAUAUGUUUUUUACUUGUGUGUAUCUUAUUACAUGUCGUUUUUAUCAAGAAAUCAUGAAUCCUUUUCAUGAUUACACUAUUUUCUUCACUUUAAUCUCUACCCAAUAACAACCAUAACUCAAAUGAGCCGAUAAAGGAAAAACUUUUUCAUGCAUAAAUAAUACCAAUAUUUUAUGCUUUCGAUCUUGCUAUCGUUACACAUGCUGCCCCCUAUUAUGUGUUUUUUCCUUGCCCCUAUUUAUCUAUAAACAUUUAAAAAUCUUUAUAUUCUCAUGUUCCCUAAAAUAAGAGUCACAUUAUAUUUACUCAAUUGGGAUACAUAGUUUGUAUCUCAACUAAUAUGUUACAAAUAAAAUUUUAUAAUUUAAAUUAGACACUUAAUAAUUAAAUAUCACUUGAGUUAAUUAAAUGAUGACAUAUCAUUCGUCACAUCAUUCGAAAUGCAAGUAUCUUAAUGAAGUAAGCACAACCUUAGUGUUAAAAUAAAAAGAUGCUGGAAAUUAAUUUAGCCCAAUCUAUUGUAAAAUCCUUGUCCUGCCCUUACUUUCCCUUAGAAACCUACAUAAAAUAGCAAUAUUUUAUGCAUUUUGUCGAGAAAAAUACUAACUAAUUUGGAAGACCAAUGGUUACCCAUUUACUUGGCCAAUAACAAUGCUAUUUAGAUAGAAAUAUUUGAUAGAACGCUGAUAAAUAUCUGAACUCGAUUUUCAAUGUUAUUCGAAAUCAAUUGAAGCAAUAAACUGACUUAGACUUCGGCUUCUUUAGCAUUUUUCUAAAAGAAUUCACUUUGAAUUAUUGAUGACCUAUUUUGAAUGUUAAAUAAAAAAUUCAAAAGAUUAAAAUCUCUUGCACAAGAUUUUGCCAAAAAAGCCAAAGAAAAUGCUCAUAAAAGGGCUAUAUAAUAAAUGAACCAUUUGAGGAAACUGAUUUGAAACAGCCAAACUGUCAUGAAACUGAUUUUUUUUUUUCUUUUUUUCUUUUUUGAAAGGAGUUACUUGUGUUAAGAUUUGUUAAAAAGGGAAUGAUUUUUUUUAAUAAUUUUUUGGAUGUACAGCGGGCGAGAUUAUAUUUUGUAUUUCCUUGUACAAAUUUAUGAACGAAGAUUAUAUGCUGUCUAGUGUCGAUAAUUAUUCAUUCCUUAGAAUUGAUCGGCCAUAACAAAACUUUCCAGCAAACUUCAACAAAUUACUAAAAUGUAUAUUUAAUGAUUUAGCACACACAUAAACUAUGAAUUGAUGGACCAUAAACGACCAUGCAUGAUUCAGCAACCCACCAAGAUAUUAACUAUGAGCAGAAUCUACAGAUAAAUCCAUGAAUUGUGUCUACAAAGGAAUAUUAUUCAUAUUAAUUCUACGUAGAAACAAUAAUCAACUACAAGAUUUUGCCAUGCACUGAUACAAGUACUUAGAAGCUACUAUCCAUGUCGAGUAACAAUAGAAAAAUAGAAAAUGAUGACACAUUUCAAUGCGUGAAUGGAAUGAAGCACAAAUAUUUUGAACUUUACAUAAUGCUAUAAUUAUCCAUGAAGGGAGACAAACAUAAAGUCAUAACAUUGUAUUGAUCUCUCAGAUUCUUCGGAUGAUCACAAAGGAAAUACAAGAAACAUAAUGUUCACUCAUAUCAUGAAGGAAAAGCAACAGAAUACAUGAUAUUCACUCAUGCACUUAAGAGUAGGUAGUGACCUACCGUGCAAAAUUUUAUAUGAGCUAGUUAUGCAAGCUAAGUACAUAAAUGAAUAGAUGUUUUGAAGUAUUAAUUCACAAAAUAAUUGACAAAAAUCAAACUGGUCAUGCAGAACUAACAAGAGAAAACAUGCAACAUCAUACCAGACAUUACUUCUCCUGCAAGAAAUAUACUUUAUGGGCAUAGACCAAAACCAAGUUAGACCGAUGAAGAUAUUUCUCAUUCACAAGAUGAACCUUCAUUUGCAUAGAAGUUGUUUCUAUGAGAAAUUAUCCAACCGCAUUGACGUCUACUCAAGAACAAAAAACAAGGUGCCAUCUAUCAGUUAUGCAAAGUCCAAAAUCAAAUUUAAACGCACAAAUUCACGAGUUACAUGCUUGACCGAAAGCAUUUUCAACAAAAACUACAUAAAAGGUAAUACUCAAAUCCAUUCAUAGGAAUUUAAACAACUUAAUUCAAAUUUCUGAUUGUGUAAGCAUUUUUCCUUCAAGUUUUGUCUAUCAUCAAUGCACCUAGAUUUGCAAUUUGGUAUUUCAUUGGCACAUUUAUUGGUUGAUGAUCAUGCAGAGACAAUCAAAUGAAUCAGUAAGACCAUGCAUUAAAUAAUAAUGCUACUAAGUGUACCAUUUCAUCAAUAAAAGAAAUUCAAAUUAUGCCUCUUCAAAUUUAAGUCGUUUAAAAAUAGAAAAAGAAUAUGAGAAAUUAUCAUUAAAAACUACUUCAAAUUCGGAGAUACUGAUGUAAAGGAAAUUCUUUUGAAUAUCAAUCAGUAUUUAAGUACCUGAUGUUUAAAAAUAUGUUGGAAAUAGUAAUAAGACGAAAUCUUUUAGCAAAAUGAUUUCUACUAAAGAAAAAUCAUUUCAAAAAAUACUCUUAUGUUGCAUCUUCCAAUCAAUCAAAACUAAUAUAAUUGAAAUGAAAAACCAAAAAUCCUGAACACCAAGUGGGUAUGCGUGUUUCUGACCAAAUGUAAAUCGUUAAUCCACACAAUGUUGCAAUGCAUUGGAAACACAUACCAAGAAAGAGAAAAAAUAAUACCUCUGAAUCAGACCAAAGUGCAUCAUUCUUCAGCUCAUUCAGUCUUCCUCAUCUAGACAUAAGUAGAACAUGAUGCAUAGGAAACUAUUACCAACAUGAAAUUUGACAGCAACCUAAUGGAGUGAUAAUGUUUUUCCUUCUCAGAAAACAAUCAUUUUCUAUAAUAAAAAGAAAAGAUAUGUUCAUCAUCCAAUAUAUCAUCAGUUCUUGUGCAUAUAUAUGCCGAAAACUUAACCCAAACAUUUCAUUUUACAUGUCUUAUGAAAUUAAAAAAAGAGAAUAAGGGUGGAUGCAAGCAAUAUAUAUUGGAAGGGCAUAAUUAUUAAAGCAAGUUAAACACAAUGCCACAAUCAACGAUUAGACACUGUAUUCCACCACAUUAAUUAGUUUAAAUUAAAUUAGUCAAGCAGCAUGUCAAAUCUGAUUAACUUUAUGAGAGAAUGAUAAUGCAAUUCACAUGAAAAAUCAAUGGAUGCAUAUAAAAUAUAAGCAGACAUAGAAAGGGGGACAAUAAGUCGGUGGGCGGAAAGCUAAAAGGGGGCAAGCAAGCAUUAAACUUACAUACAUUGCAUUAUUUAAUCCAGAUUAGUCAACAUUUGUGCAAAAAAUCAUAGCCAAAGGGAUAAGUCACAUAGAUAUGCAGCAUCUCAAAGAAUAAAGUAUGAUUGGAAGCCAAAUGAACAUUCAGACAGCAAUAUUCCGAACAAAUGCAAAUGGCAGAAAUAGUUAGAUUAAUUAAUAAUAGUGACAAAACCGACAUGAUAAUAGAAUAAUGCAGAAAAGAAAACCCAUAAUUUGCAUGAUUGGCAAUUGCUGGCUAAGUAAGUGAUGAGAGGAAACACAAGCAACCAUAUCUACCUAAGACGAAUGCAGAAGGAUUUGUAUUAAAUGGUUCUAUUCAUUAAAACUUUUGAGAAGUACAGAACCAGUGAAUUUGAAAAAGCAGUGUCGGGCAACGGGUCCAGAAUUCAGAAUUAAUGUUUACAAGAAUCUAUGCAGAGACCUGCAGAUUAAAAGUUUUAUGUAAUAUUAUUAUAUAAAGUUGGAGAUAUAGGAAGUGUAAUAUUAAGACGAAGGUUAGAAACAUUUCCCAUAGAAGAAUAACAGAAGAAGCAAGUACAUAAUGCAUUCAUGAAUGCAUGCAUAAGCAGGCUCUUGUCCAAAUUGCAGAAAUGUAACAAGAAGUUAAGUGGGUCUAAAAAAGAUUUCCAAGAAAUGCUCUUCCAUGUUUGGCAACAUAUGAUAGUGACACAACAACUACUACUCAUGCUAAAGUCUAAAGAAGCAAAAUAAUGAUGAAUAGCACAUUUACUUCGAGUUCAUUAUGAACCAAAGUAACCAAACUAAACCAAGAGGACAGAAAACCGGUGAAAUAUUUUACUAGACCCCCGACCAUGAAAUAUAUGAUUGGAAUCUAAAAAGGAAAAUAGAAAACCAUUAAAAAAAAUGGUUUCAGAAAAAUAUUAGAGGAAAUAAACUACUUAUUAUUUUUUAAAUUAUUGUGAAACAGUACUGCAUAUACAACAAGCAAGACAAAUCCCUAUGCGGCUAAAGCCUAAAGAUAAGGUCUACACCAAAAUGUCACUUGAUAUAUGAUAAGUGAUCAUACUUUACACUGUAGAUUUCAGCUUUGUCAAACAUAACUCUGAUGAACAGAAAGAAGAAGAAUUAAAAAAAAAAGAAAAAGGCAACAACUUCAAGAAAGAAAAACUUCCUGAGAUGUAUUAUCUAUCUAUCUAUUGGCACAGGAAUUCUUCACCUUUAUUCUCCAAAUGUAAUUAUUAUUUGAUACAAAACAUUCGUAAGUACUUUAGUAGUGAGAAAAUGUAGCUUGAUUGAUAAAUGCCUGAUCAUAUCUCAGUGAAAUGGGAAGAAAGCCAGAAACCAAGUAGUUGAAAUAUUAAAUGAGAGAGACAUAUGUUAAUAAGACAAAAGUCUUGAAGAACAAUUAACCAAAACCCUAUUAAUUAUAAUGAGUAGACUACAAAUUUAUGAUCAUUUUUUUCCAACAUAAUGACAAUAUUCACUACCUCAAGUCUCAAUUUAUUGGAUUGCCAUAGGUUGAACCUCCAAGGAAACCACCAGCUGAGGCGGCGUAAACAUCGGAAGGAUCAAGAAUAUUUGGAGAAGAUGAACAAGCCGCGUUUUUUCCACCAUUACCACUGCCACCGGCGCCACUACUACUGGCACCACCUCCUAAAUGUAAUUCAGCCAUAUUGGGAAACCCUUCUCUUGUUUGAUGAUGAUGAUCAUCAACUCCUUGAUCAUACAAAAACCCUUUAAACACAUGGCCACCAAUCUUCACCACAGCUUGGUAUGCAUACUCAUCUUCACCAUUAUCCUCCACUGCCGUUACCCUAACACACUUGAAAACUGCCGGUGCACGUAUUUGUCCCGGCAACGAUUCUUUGAAACUUGCAUCUACAUACACACCCCAAAAAUAAAAAGGAAAAAAAAAUUCAACAAAACCCUAAACAAGAAAACAAACAAAAACGUAAUAAGAAAAUUAACUAAUGAUAAUGAAAAUUUGAACGAACAAAUUAUUAACCUUGAUGACUAGAAGUGGUGUCAAAGCUUCUUGGCGGGGUGGUGUUAGAAGUUGAGGUGUGAGAAGUGGUCUGUGAAGAUAUGAGCCUAGGUUUCUUGAUCCCAGAGGUAGACCCAGAAGAGCCAGCAGCGCCGGGGCCGAUGGUGGCAGCAGCCGCCGCCAUGAGCUGACGCUCUCGACGCCUUGACGCCGGCACCCACGUGCUCUUAACGUGCGUGGAACAUUCAAAACCCCGGCUCUUACAGCAUGUUCUACACCUCCUAUGGCUGCAGUCUUUCUUGGCUUGGUUCCCACAAUCUUGACACGUGGUCGCGGAAGAACAGCCGGCGAUAUUAUUACUAUUAUUAUUACCACCACCACUAGCAGCAGCAACAGUAACGGCGCCGCUUGGUAUGAAAUUGUUAUGAUGUUCAAGAAAAGUAGACGAUGAUGAAGCUGCUGCUGGCUUCUUGAAGUACUGGUGGUGAGAGUUUUGAUUCUGUUGCCAAAACUGAAUUUGACUGACUUUGUUGUUGUUACGGCUGUUAAAGUUAUUCAACAAAUCUUGAUCCGCAGCGAGUAGAGGAAUAACGCCGACGCCGAGAGCAGUGGCGGCGGCAGCAUUUUGGGCGGCCAUGGGAUCGGAAGAAUUAACAUUUAUAGACGACUCGUGAUUAUGAAGGUGAUGGUGAAGAUGAUGGUGAUGGUGAUUGAAGGAGGAAGCUGGGGCUACAACAAACAUGCCCAUUUCAGGAGAGAGGCCAUAGUUGAUGGGGCCGCGAGAGGAAGAGUGUUGUCCGGCGGCGGAGGGGGGCCAGGAGGUGGGUCCGGCGGAGGGGGUGGGCGCGGAGGCGGGCCCGGCAUUGAAGCCGAGGGAGAGGUCGUCAGGGACAGCAGCACGUAUUGCUGAAGAGGAGGAAGAAGAAGCAGCCCAGUCAGCAAAAGCUCCAGAAUCAGAAGCCAAUUGGCGCCUUGUAGUAGCCACAACUGAUUUGCCUUAUAACAGAAUUUGUAUGUCUUGUAUAUAUAAAAUAUACACACACACAUAAAAUUGGGUAAUAAAGAAAUUCUUUAAAAAAAAAGAAAGAAAGAAAGAAAGAAAGAAAGAAAGGGAAGUUUUGAUGGAUAGAGAAAGAUGAUAGAAACCAAAUCUAAGGAUUUUAGAUUUAUCUGUAAAAACUUUUCUUGUAAGUGAGUGAGUGAGUGGGGUCUAAUUUCACAGAAUAAUUAUAAAAAAAAAAAGAAAGAGAUUUAUAAUAUCAUUUGCUUCUGCUUCUGCAAUUGCAGUUUCAGAAAUCUGCUGCUGCUGCUGCUGCUGCUGCUGCUGGGUUUUUCUGUUGGCAGCUGCAGCUGCUACUCCUACUACUACCAACUACUGUCUCUUUGGCUUUUCUAAAGAGGAAAAAAAGUUGGGAUUGAGAGAGAGAGAGCGCAAAAAAAGGCUAAAAACAAAUGGCAAUAACAAACUCUAUGGCAAUUAGCCACCCUUUUCAUUACAAAACCUUCAUGGGUGUUUUUUUUUUUUUCAAUUCCCUUGUGAAUUUUUUUUUGGUUUUUGCUUUGCGCUGUUUCUCACUCCAAUAAUCACACAGAGAGAAGAAGAGGAGAAGAAGGUAUAAUAAAGACUUUUUGUUGUUUAGUUUUUGUUAUUAUUAUUAUGGGUUCCCUCAAAAAGAUCACAUGACACAACACUGCACUACACUACACUACACACCUCUUAUUCACUCACUCACUCAACUUUGAGCCUCACUUUCUCUCCGCUUCUCCUCCACUAUCAAAUUGCCUACUUCGCUCUUCCUCUUACUCCCUUUUACUCUCCCUUUCAGCGCGUGUGUUUCACGUCGGGACGGAGUGCGCCCGAGACCCUACUCGCUCGAGCGUGUGCUUCACUCCCUAAUUAAUUACAACUUUUGGGGGAAAGAAAAAUUAAAAAUUAUCUUCAUAUAUUUUUAUUUUCCAUGUGUUCAAAAAAUUAAUUGAAUAGAAUAGGGACUUCAAGUAUCAUCUGUUCUGUUGCGUCGUAUAGAUUGUAUUUGUUUGUCAUUUGUCAGCCAAAUUGGGGUAUCUAAGAAAAGAUUGUCCAAAAAUUGUCGUUUAAUAUUACGUAUUGCGUGUGUAUGUACAAAUGAGAUUAUUGAAUAAUACCAAUGAAAGUAUUGCGUUGUCACAUAAACUUGGUCAUUGGUGUUGUUUUCAAAAUAUUUUAUUAAAUUAAUCAUUGGAGUUUAAAUUUUAAUGGGUAGAAUCAUAGGCGACUAAAAAAUUAAUAUGAGCUUCACUCGCCCACAUAAAAAAAAAAAACCUAAAACUUGAGCCGAUUAUUAGGAAUCAAGAUUAUUUCAUAAAAAAUUAAAUUAUUUAAAAUCCAAAAAUGACCCACAUUAAUGUGGCUGCAUGAAUAAUCUGCAAUUGUGGAUGAAGUACAUACUCUCUCCAACAAUCAUGGGAUGGGAGAGAAUAGAUACAUGUGUUACAUAUCUUACCAUAUAAAAGUCUAAAAUGCACCACAAUAGAAUGGUUUAAGUUGGUCCCCAUAGACCCACUGACACUGAGGAUAUAAAUAUGAGUAGACUUGUGAUUCUAAUAAUAAUUCUAAUUUUUCAAAAUAUAAAAUAAAAAUGUGUUUUCUUCAAGUGUUCUUAAUCUUCUCCACGUGGCUAGUAAAAAAAAAUAAUUAAAAAAAAAAACACACAACAGCAACAACAUGAAUUCAUGUGUUUGGUUUCAAAUGACAAAUUUAUACUCUGCUGGAGGAAGAAGGUACAGUGAACAAAACGGUUAGGUGAAAUUUUUAUUUUUAUUAUUUAUUUAUUUAUUGUUUUGGGUAUACGAAAUACGUUAAAUAAAAAAAAAUAAAAAAUUGAAUGUUAGGGCACGUGAAGGAGAGAAAAGAAAAGCACUUUCGUUCUUUUUCAUUUUAUUAUUAUUAUUAUUUUUCUUUCUUUCUUUCUUUCUUUAUUUGUAGCUUUGCCAUAAGCCACCCUUUGGCAUGCCCUUUGGGGCCACGAAUCUCUUUCGGUUCACAAUUUUAAGUUUUUAGCUUCCCUCGAGGUUCAUUCAAUUCUUCACCCAAAAGAAAUCUUCAUAUAAGCAAGCGUGUGUUAAAAAGUCUCACCAUCGAACCGCUUUUUCUCCCUCGAGUAAUCCUAAAGAGCGUUGAUACUUAUAUGUGGGUUAGAAAAAGCACUUAUUUUAAGCCCCACAAUAAGUGCUUUUUUUUUUUAAUUUGAUAUGUAAAUAACUUACUUCAUUCAUUUGAACCGGGGCUAAAAGUGAAGUUAGGUUAGUCUAUUCAUUUUGGCUAGGAAGUAUUAUUGCACCCAUGAGAGAGGAAUCAUUUUCUCAACCUUUUUCCCAAAAAGAAAAGAAAAGAGAAGAAAAGAAAAUUAAAUAAAAGAGAGGAUCAUUUGGGGUGCUGGUUCUGGUUCUAUUCUUAUUGAGAGACAAAGCUUCAUAAUUACAAUUAUUAUAAGGUUUAUGCAUGCAAAUAUAAAAUAGAUGCUUUCAUAUAUAUAUAUAUAUAUAUAUAUAUAUAUAUAUAUAUAUAUAUAUAUAUAUAUAUAUAUAUAUAUAUAUAUAUAUAUAUAUAUAUAUAUAUAUAUAUAUAUAUAUAUAUAUAUAUAUAUAUAUAUAUAUAUAUAUAUAUAUAUAUAUAUAUAUAUAUAUAUAUAUAUAUAUAUAUAUAUAUAUAUAUAUAUAUAUAAUGUAAAUGAUCCUCAAAACGAACCCUCAUGUAGUUUAUAUGAAAUAAAAUAUGAUACACAAUGAUUUAUCAUUGAAUUAGCAUGAUCCACAAUGAUCCCAAGAAGGACAGCUCUUAAUUUAAAGAUAGGAAGGGACAAGGUUCAAGGUCACUUAAAACUAAGAAUCAAAAAUUAAAAAAAAAUUGUAUUAUGAUGAAUUUUGACGAAAUUUUUAUUUGGGUCGUUAUCAUUUCAUUGUUUCAACUAUGAUGAAAUAAUAAAUUACGACUAUAAGUAUUAGAAUAUAACAUUUUACUACCUUAACUAUCAACAAAUAUUACUUUAAUUAAGCAUAGGAAUUUUUUAAAAGAGUGUGAGACAUAAUAAUUUUUAAGGAGUGGAGUUAACAAAAGUGAAACAAUUGUCUUUUAUUAUUAGCUUGACUCUUAAGCAGAACCGUGAUCUUGAUUCAACGGGUCCCAUGAUAGAGAAACCAAAAACUUAAGGAGGGUAUAAUAUAAAAAUUUAAAUAAUAUAUGGAGCGAUUGAAACAUAAAUUUUAUAAUUUUUUAUUUAUUUAAUAUAGUAGUGAGAUUCGAACUCAUAACUUGAGUUCUAGGAAGGCCGCUUGUACUGCUUAAUUUAAUCUUGACCAUUAUAACACUCUAGGAGAAUCUGAAACGUCCAACCCAGACCCAAAGGACUUGCGGACCAAGGUAAGUUAGUGGUCUCGCUCAACUUGAUCAUCUGUCAUGACCCAACCUAGAGCUCGCAAGAUACUGUCCACUUUGGGUCUUAAUAAGGCAUGCGCGACUUUGUUUUAAGGGCACUCAUACACUCCAAAAUAUGUCUUUCCAAUUUAGGUAUGAAUCACCCCUUAUAAACUUAGCAUAUCUCCCAAGUUUUGUCGAUGUGAGAUUUGCAUAGGGUGUUACAUACACCUCCUUUAGGGACUCAGCGUUCUCGCUGAGGUUUGCCGUAUCAUUGCUCGAAAGGACACGCGGAGCCGCUUUGAUACAUUUGUCAUGACUCAACCUAAACCUGACAAAAUAUUAGUUGCUUUAGGCCUUAACAAGUCCUGCACGGUUUUGUUUUUAGAGUGCUCAUACACCUUAAAAUACGUCUUGCUAAUUCUAGUGUAAAUCACCCCUUAUAAACUCAACAUCUCUCAUAUGCUUUGACGAUGUAUGAUUUGCUUAAGGUGUUAUAACCACAAUAAAAUUUACUUUUAAGUUGGUUAAAUUUCAAUUACAACUCAAGUCCAACUUUCUAUUGAGUGUUUUUAUCUUAUGGGGUCAUUGGCCUUAGCCUCAACAUUGUUCCAUUCCUAAUCUAAUAGUUAUCAUCUGUCCAAUUCGGCCUUACUAAAUUGGAGGUUGACAUCUUUCAAAUACUACUGGGAGUAGAUUUCUUCCUCUACAAAAAUACACACAUUGCUACCAAGUAUAGAACAUAGAUUAACGUAGCAUUUUUUUUUUAAAAUCUGAAUUAGUCUGAAUUAUGAAUAAAUCUGAAUAUCUAAAUCUAAAUAACUUUUUUUUUGUCUGAAUCUUUUAAAAUAAAUAUCUAAGUUGGUUGGUUUUUUUUUUAACUUAAAAAAUCUGAAAUUAAGUAAUUUUACAUUCGUGCCUUGCAUAAUUUUAAUGUUAAAAAAUAAUAAACACCUAAAAGAACAUAAAUAAUCUAUUAUUUUAUUAUAACAAACAUCAUGUUCAAAUAAAUACAACUCUUUAAUAUUCUAAACUAGAAUGUGCUAAUCAAUUUUAUUGUAGCUUAUGAUGUUUUAUAUGAAAAAUAUUCAUAAAAUUUUAAAAAGAUAAAUAGCGUUAAUUUGAAUAAAAGAAAAAGAUAAAAAUAAAAAUAAUCUAUAUUAUCACAAGUUAUAGAAAUGAAUGAUAUUUCUCAUUCGUAAGUUCAAUUAAGGUAAAGAUGAAAAUAAAUUAAUUCGAAUGAGAUAUUUUGGAGAAAUGUGUAAUGAUGUCAUUUAGACUUUUUAGAUUAAGUAAAAAGCUAAAAAAAAAAGCUUAAUAGCUUAAUGACUAAAUGAUUGAAAACUUUCAUUAAGUUAAAAACAUAAACAUACUUAAUGAUUUAAUGAAUUAAAAUUAAAUCAAUUAAGUCAUUAAGUUAGAAAAACAAAUGAUCCCUCAGUUGCAAAUGAGCUUAAUUGAAAUUGACCAAGCUAUAAAUGAUUUUAAGUUAAACAAGAUCGAUACAUUUGUUAUGAAGAAUUGCCAACACUCAAAACUUAACUAGAUGUUCCUUGUCAUGUUUUUGUGCUUCAAUUAAUUAAAUAUUGCUGGAUUACUUACUACCUAACUUGAUUUCUUUUACGGCGUAUUGAAUAGAGUUAUGCUUUUUGUAUUUUGAAUAUUAUACAAAAUCAUUCUUAAGAGGAAAAGAGACUAACAAGACUCCUAAAAUUUUAUACAAAAUCAACUCUUUUUUAUUAUUUUGUUAAAGAUUGGUGAAUAGGAAAGUUUAAAUGAAUACCUUAAUCUGUAUCUCUUUUAAAUUUUGAAUUCAAGUAAUCAACUAAAUAAAACUUUUUGAAAAUUAGUUAAGUGAAACACCUCUUAUUGCCAGGACUCAUAGGCCUUCUGCCUGGAGAAACUAAUAAAGGUUAAAGAGUCAACAUGUGCAGUGUACGUGUAUGCGGACUUUGAAUAAUAUUAGGGUUUGUACGCCUAGCUAGCCUAGGAUAUGAAGAAGCAUUUAGAUAAGUCGUUUUCGAGGUUACUUAGGCUUUUGAAGCAUCAUCAUCAAAAUCCCAUCUCAGCCAAAAGGGAUCAACUUUUCAACCGACCUUUAUCUCCUUUGUUUGAAGGCGAUUCAAGUUGAAAAUCCCCAUACCCAUUGGUUGGAAAGUUUCUCAGCCUAUAUCUCAUGGCUCAUCUCUAGCAAGAUUUGGAUUUUUUCUCCCCGUAAGGCUUGCACAAUCACCAUAUGCACAAAAUCAUGAUUUAGAUACUGAUCAACAUGUCUAGUCAUAAUAAUCUUUUUAUGCUCUUGAUGUCAUCAAUUGUCAAAUCAUGAUACUUAAGCAAGCUUAAUUAACGUAAUUAUUGAGCUCAAAAUAAUAUAUCAUGUGGCAAAACAUGUCUAAUGUCAACAAAUCUACACGUUUAAUUACCCAAAAAGUACGCGGCAAAUUGUUAAUUAUUUCAUAACUUCAUAUCUAAUCUAUCAAUAACUACAAACAAUAGCUGCCCUAGCCCGGUAGUCCUCACGUCAACAAUCAAAUAUGAGAGCUUUUCAGUUCAAUGUUCUUGUGAACAGUACCUUAAAACAGAUUGCAUUAUUGUAGGAAAAUCUCUAUAAAUUAAUAGUUUACGGACCAUGAAAAAUCUAUUAAUUUAAAACGGUAUUAAUUCAUUGCAAAAAAAUGUAUUAAUUAAUUGAUAACUAAAUAAUUUAUUAAUUUAUAGAGUGUAUAUCCAAUUCAAUGAACAUACAUUUUAGUCAACUAAAAGUUUAUUACAUUUACCAAUCUAAUCAAUUAAAAAUGAAUUAAUCCACUAAAUAUAAAUUAAAUCAAUGAAAAAAAUUCAGAAUUCUUGCAAUUUCAGGAUUCAGCGGAGAAACUUCAAGAAACAAUAAGUAAAAAUUAGAGAUGAGAUCCAACUAUAUUAAAUUUCAAGAGAAAAAAGUAACAAUAAAAUCAUAUUUUAUGUAAUAAAAUAUCAUAGCAAUAAUAGUUGUAAUUUUAAUAUAUUAUUAAUUUAUGAUAUGAAUGGGUUCACAAAAUUGUACAAGGAUUUUCAGAAAAAUAUUACCUUGUUAAUUUCUCAAACUUAUGAAUUUAGCUCUUUAGCCCAAGUCGGGACUACAAAAAAUUAUUACAUAAUAAAGAUUAUUAAUUUACCGAGUAUUAAAUUAUAAAGGUUACAAUACUAUUAUUGAGGCGCGUGAGUAAAUUUUUUUCUCCCUCAUUUAGGAGUUGGUUUCUUCAUAAUUUUGGUAUUAUUAAAAAUUAUCCAUAAUAACAAUAAUAAUUCAAUUAUAUAUCCCUAUCUUGUAGUAAAAAUCAAGAAAAUUUCAUCAACGGGAACCUUAUGGUGGGAUAAAAUUAUGAUGGCGAUUAAAUAAACUCAUACAAUGAGAUUGAGGACUUUUUAAAUUACAUGCAAUGUAACUUAUAAUCAAAAAUAGUACGUGAACCCACAUUAUACUAUUUAUGAUUGUGGUUGGAACUCACAUUAACUUAGAAGUUUGCCAGACUUUGAAUGCAACAAAAGGGCGCCGGCUUGGGUAUCAUCACAGCGGUCUGCGGGGCUUCACCGUCAUUCAUACGUAUCCCAUGCAGUCACAUCAAAACGUUAUGCCCAAAACGUCAACAACGAAUAUCAAGUCACCGAUUCGAUGCCCUCUGUUCAUCAUUGACCAUCAAACAGUUCCCCCCAUUCCAUCGAUCAGGAAUAAUUAUCACCUUCCCUCCUCAAUCUCAACCAACUUAGUUAAUAAAAUUAUUAUUAAUUCAUCGAGAUUUGCGAAAACACACUCGCACGUACACAUUCUUUUGAGUCUUCUUGACUUUGUCUAUCAGUUUCAGGUACGUAUGAGUUUAUUCGGAGGCUGCUUUUGCCUCCAGUCCAUUGCUAGCCUUAGCCUAGCUGCUGCUUCGCUGGCAUUUCGCCAGAUAAUUAAAUUAAAUUAAUAAACUAAUAUAAAAUUUUCAAUCAAUUGGUCAAAUAAUUCUUGCUUGAAUUGCACUCUUUUUUUUUAUUUUUUUAAUUUGGUGGUUCUUCCAUCAAUGCAGCGUUGAAAAAAAAGUUGUUUAAUACCGAAAAUCAGGAAGAAAUUUGAAAAAAAUGAAACAAAGAGGAUUGAGAUUGCGGGCGCCGGAUGUAUUAGAAGCUCAGCAUUAAUUCCGCAGAAAGGGAAAAUUCUCCUUCCUCUCUCCUUGUAAAAUGCAUCUUUUAUCUAAUUUAGAGAAUGCUAUUGAUUUAAAAAAAAAAAACUACCUGCCAAGAUUUUUAAUCCGACAAUUAUGGAGAUUUUACAUUUUAAAAUUAAUUUUAUUAACUUAUAUUAAAUCAGAUAUUUGCAAAUUACUAUUAUUAAAGACAUCUAUUGAUUGACAACUACCUGAAAUUAUUAGCUUAUAUUAAAUUCUCAUAAAACACUAUAGAUUGUAUAUACUCGUUAAUAUUUGAUAAAUGUCUUUUUGACUCACAAAUUUUUUGUAAAAGAUCAAAAAAUGCAAUGACCUCUACUCAAUUAUUCUUGAUUGAAGGAGAAAGUUGAGUCCAUUAAAACUUACAUAGACUUAAAUUUUAAUUUCAAAUAAGAAGUCGUUUAGAUUUUGAACAAUAAUAUAAUCACAAACUCUUGUAUGAAUUUAUUUUGUACAAAUUGACGUGGUAUUAAUUCAUUAGUUGAAUUAAAUAUCUCUUGGUCCACAUGAUUUAUUUCUAUUUUUUUAUAUUUUCAUUCAAUCAAUGAAUUAAUGUCACAUCAAUUUGUGUAAGAUAAGUUUAUACAAGAGUUUGUGGUUGUAUCAUCACUCUUAGAUUUUACAUACCUAUCUUUUCGUUGAGAUUUUCACUCAAAUUUUUUAGCAUUAAUUUUUUAGCAACGGAGUUAAAUUGAAUUGAGCGGCAAAGAGUAAGCGAUCAGUUACAACAUUUAAAUGUCACUUGUUAGUUUAAAUUUUUACUCUAUUAGAUUGCGGAAAUUUUUUUACAAAUAGUUACUUCAGAAGUUUGCUUCAAAAAUUCGCUCAUCAAGCAGGAAAAAAAAUAGACUCCUACAAUUAAUGGAGAAUGAGAUUGAGACCAGGCGAUGAUGAGCUGUUCACCAAUUGUCUUUGCAAGAGAUUAAACAAAUAGGAAUGUAUGUUAAAAUGAUGGUUGAGUUGAUAAAAUCCUACGGUUGACAAAAGAGAAUUAAAGUUAGAAUCUUACGCACACAGUUUGAGUCGUGGAAAGGGGCUUUAAUUACCAAUAUGUUAUAUUUAAAUGCAAAAGAUUAUGUCAGGAUUUUGAAUCAAACGACUUCUUACCAUGCAAUUUUAAUCAAGGUGAUGGUGAUCGAUGCUUCUUAACUUCUUAUUUCGAGCGUUUAGAAUUGAGUUUGGACAGUUGUAAUUUAAAAAUUAUAGUAUUAAAAUAUUUGAUAAACACUAAUUACUAUAAUUUGAAAGUUCUGUUAAUACGAUUUUUCACUAGUAUCAUAGAAAAUAUAUUAAAAUUUAUAUUAAUUAUAUAUUAUUAAUUUUUAUUUUAUUGUUAUCAUUUUUUUUCCACAGCAGCUGUAGAUCAAACCUAAAUGAGUCCUUCAUCUCCAUGUAUAUUUAUAUACAUAUGAAUUUUCUUAAUAAGUAAAAAUUCAUUAAACCAAACACAAAUACAAUACAUAUUCCACUUUAGUAAGAUACACAUCUAGAUCAACUACAGAAAUAAGUUUGUUUUUUUUUUUAUAUUAAUCACGAGGUAUCCUGGGGAGGGCCCCAACUGUGGGAGGCACCUUUAAGCCCGUACCACAACCCAGACUAGAAGUCCCCGCUCGAACCGGGAGGCACAGAUUCUCCCAACAAAGGCGACUUCCCUGCGACUCGAACUGGAGAGCAAACUCAGUCAAGCCACUUAAGGGGACUCCAUUACCAAUGAAGCCAACACUUUGUUGGUACAGAAAUAAGUUUGUUAUAAUAGAUAACUUGUUCAACUAUGGCGGAGGAUGAAGAUGAUAAUGUUCUCGGCUGCUAUCCUCCAUGAUAUUCUAAAACAAAAGACACAGAUCCAUCGCAUGCAUGCCAAAAUCUGAGUAGAAGAAAAAGUUAUAAACGCAGUUGGAUCAUCCAACUUGACAUUAUUUAAGAGUCUCAAUUCGGUUAACAAGUCAAUUUUAAUUGAUACGUCGUAUCCCGAAUAGCGACAGACAAUGCAAAGCUGGUGGCUACUUGUAUCAGAUUUGCUUCCAUGCUUAGUCAAGAUUUUGUUGCGCGAUUGAAUUUUAACGUUAAUUAGCAAACGAAGGAACAUGGUCUUGCUUGAUCGGCACCAUAAAUAAAUGAUGGGUCAAUCACGUUAGCGUUGUUAAAGGUUAAUGAUUCAUUAAGAAGAAAAAAAAAAAAAAAACACAUUGAGAUUUAAGAUACAUUUCUAAAUUUAAGAAGAAUUAUGCUAAAAGUUAUUCUAAAUCCAUAUUGCUUUCAAAUUUUUUAAACCACAACCUGAAUUUUGUUUGAGUAAACAUAAAUAUGUAAUAUCAAUUAGAAAAAAAGAAAUUAUCAUUUAACUAUUUAGUUUUUUUUUUUUAUAUAUAUAUCACUUUACCAUCAAAUAUUUUGACAAUUAUUUUUUCACUUAAUAUUUCAGUUUUUAUUAUUGUCACAUAAAUAUUUAGGAAUUUCAGUAUGUUGGUAUUUUAAAAAAUUUCGUGAGGUAUAACAUUUAUAAUUUUUUCAAUUGAUUAUUUUAGAUAUAUGAAAUAAUUAAUCAGUAAAAGCAUUAUUUCUUUGUAUUCAAUUAAUUUUUAUUUUUAAUUUAGAGGGUUAAAUUAUACUUGCGUGACUUAUGGGUAAAACAAACUUUUAUUUUAAAAAAUUCUGUUAACUUUAAUGAUAUAAUAUAAUAGUAAAAUAAUAAAAAUUAUAAUUAUAAAAUAAUAUAUUUAAUAAUAAAAUAAUAAGUCAAAAAAUGAUAGAUAGUAAAACAAUAGUAUUUAAAAAAAAAUCAUCAAACAUAAAUCUAACAAGUAAAAUUUUCAAACGCCACCCAUCAACAAGCAAGCAGAGAAAUAAUAAUUGGAGAGAAAGAUAUUUCAGGAGAGGGCCCACCAAUCUGUACGGCUAAUUUGAGACAGCACGCCACCUCCGUAAAUUUAGGUUAGGCUGUCUCCUAUCUCCAUUAUUUUUCCAUUUUUUAAUAUUAUUAUUAAUGCCCUCGAGCACCGUGCUGCUCUCUCUCUCUCUCUUCCCCCCAACUUUUAUCAUCAUUUUUUUUCAAAAUUUUUAACUAAAUUAUUUUUUUAAUUAGAUUUCUUGGGUUUAUUUAUAUUGAAUUAAACGGGGAGCUCGAUUUUUCUGUGUCACAUGCCUAAGAGGAUCUUAACAUGUCGUAUAGAUCUUCCCACAUUACUUACUUUAAUCACCGACCAUAUUUGAUUUAUCUGGCUUAAUCAUAUCUAAUGAUAUCUAUUGAAAUAUAUAAUGACUACAUCCAAUGUAUUUAACUGAUGAUUUUAUCGUCUCAUAACAUAUACUAAUAUCAAUGUAAUGAUAUGUGUUCUAUUAAGGUAAUGAUCAUAAUAAAUGUGUGUAUAUAUCGAUGUUCAAUUCUUUUUAUGCUUGUCUUGUAAUAAAACGUGUUCAUAUUAUGAUCAAAAUGAGAAUUAAUACAUUAUUAAACGUAAAUUCAUCUGCACUCUCUUACCUUAAAACGUACGAUUAUUAGUUAGUAACUUAAAUUUCAACGUGUCCAUUGAAAACAACGUAUCGUCGACAUCUUUAUUAAUCAAUAGUGUGAUUAAUUGAAGAUGACUUUUGGCACUAAACAUGCAAGAGGUUUGUAAUUGGAGUCUAGAUUGAAAACAACGUAUCAUCAACCUCUUUAUUGAUGAUUAAUACCGUGAUGAAUCGAAGAUGACUUUGGAAUUAAACACGUAGGCGGUUUGUAAUUGAAGUCUUUCACAUCGAAACUAUAUCUCGUCUCCUGUUACACGUGUCUUACAUAUACAAAUAAUUUUUCUUUAGUAAUAAAAAAAUACAAAUUUAUACACAUGUGCUACUACAGUAAGAAAAUAACUACUUAUCUAACAAUAGAGAGAAACAAACACUAUGAAUAUUAUUGAAUAUGAUAGUAAAAGUUGGGCUAAAUUUUAGUUAUAUUAAGUGGGCUAUAUUCUUUUAUCCAAAAUUUCCAAACCCAAGUCCAAUUUUUUUCUUCUUUCUUCUUUCUUCCUUUUUUUUUUUGGGAAAAAAAAGAGAGACUUUAUUUGUUUAUUAUUUUUAAAAAAAGAAGUAAAGUAGAAAUGAUAAGGUAAAAAAGAGAAUGGCAUUACCGAGGCAAGAAGAAGAAAAUUAAGAAGAAACAAGAAACAGUGAAAAAGUAAACGGGGAGUAAAAGAAAAGACAGACAUAAAACAAAAGCAAGGGAAAUACUACAACCUCCAACAACACAUGCCUGCUUUUUCCCGUAUAAAGAUAGCGGCGCUCUCAGAGUCCCCCUUGCAAACACCCACUCUCCCUCACAGCACGUCCGUAGUACGCAUAGAAAAGAGCCGGCUGUGAAAUGCACGCGCGAGUAGAUAUGAUGUUCUUCAGCCUCCACGUUUUGCAGCCGCAGCUGUUAAUGCUCCCCAGAGUGCUAAUGCUAAUGCUUAAUGCUUAGUACGCACAUGACGAGGCGUUUUUUUUGUUUUUGUUUUGUAGUGAUCGUGAUAUUUUUGUUUAUUUUAUUUUUUUUAUUAUUAUUUGUAAAAUGAAAUGCCUCGAGCCCUGUGUUUAGUUGUAGCAGUGUUUUAUGAGUGUGUGUGUGUGAUGCGGUGAGUACCGGGCUCAAUAAAACCCGCGAGAUCUACUUUUUGUUCUUUUGCUUUCUCCAACACACGUCUCCGACUUUCACUCUCUCUUCACGCGCUUUUCUUUCGUCUGCUUCUCCACUCACCCAUUGAUUGCGUUCCUUAUUUUUUUGUUCGUUUACUUCGUAAAAUGGGAAUGAGAUAAAAUGAAAAUAAUAAUAAAUGAGUUGGAAUGAAAAUAAAAAAUAAAAAUAAUAUUUUAAUAUUUAUUUAGUAAAAGUAAAAGUAAAAGUAAAAGAUAAUGAGAAUGUAUUAAAAUAUCAUUAAUAUAUUUAAUAAAUGAAAAUGAAGAAUAAGAAGGAGAAUUAAUUUACCAAAAUACUUAUAGUAUUAAAUAAUAUAAUUUUUCUUAGCUAGGUACGUGUAUAAAUAUUAUUAUAAAAAUGAUAUUAAUUAAAAAUUAAAAAUUAAUAAUAAUAAUAAUAAAUGUUAAUAAUGAUAAUAUUAAUAAAAAUAACAAUAAUUAAUAAUAAUUAAAAUAAUAAAGUUAAUAAUAAUAAUAAUGACAUUUAAAAUAAUAAAAUUAAUUGUGAUUUGAACAAGGGUAAUUUGGGAACCAUGAAAAAUUAGAGGAAUACAAAAGUCAAGAAAUGGAAAUCCCCAUUUCGAAUUCCCAUGAGAAUGAGAUUCUCAUUCUUUAUUCCUAAUUGUGUGGGACUCACACAUUUUAUUUUCAUUUCUAAAUUAUAUUUUGCCAAGUAAACAUGAGUUUUAUUAUCUUUUCCUACACUCUCAAGUAAACACACCAUUAAUACUUUAUUUCAUUUUUAUGUUAAAGUUGUGAUUAGAAAACAGAUUGUUAAUAAAUAAUUAUCAAUUUUCAAAUGUCUCAAAUAAUCAAUUUAUAUGCAAAAGGAUCACAUUCUUUUAUUAAAUUUAAUGUUCUUUUAUUAUAGUACUCGAUUACACAAAUUAAUUGGAUUACAAAUUAGUUUUUAAAAUGAUUUAUUGACGAAUAAAAAUAACAAAUUACACAUUGAAUAACAGAAGAUAUAUUGAUUAAAAAAAAAUAAAAACGAACAAAAUCUAACUAUUAUCUUCCUUUGGAAUUUGAUGGCGGUACCGUAGUUAAAAUUAAUAAUCUUCUUUGUGUAAUUGUCUUUAAAGAAAAACGAGUGAGAACACGUCGGCGCGUGGGAUAGAAGCGGAAGUCGCGUUGGUGCCAGAACUGGGAUAUCCUUAGUACGAGCACUACAUUACGCUAGGAUGAGCAGAGAGCUACACGUGUCAUAAUCUUUAUGGCCUAAGAAAAGAACACAGAUGUGAGUCACGGUAGGUCGUUCUAGAUCAGCCUUUUUAUUUAUUACUCUUUUUUAGCUUUUUUUGGGGCAUGCCAAGUGGCAACUGUCAACGGCUGUUCCAUCUACAUUCUCUCCUCAUACUCCUCGGCCAGUCAGCCCUCACUCCUUCAAAAGAAAUUUUAAGGUUAAUUUCAAUGCGGCUAUCAAUUUUUUUAAUUUUCUCAAAAUAUCAAACGGCUGACAAAUUCAAACAAUUUUUCAAUAAAACCACUUAAAAAUUUACAAGUACCUUAUUUCGCAGCAAUAUCAAAAUUUUAAUUCAAAUUUCAACAUAAAUGUUUUGACACUUAUUGAAUAAUUAAUAAUUUUUGAUAAAUUUUAAGUGAUUUUUUUUAUAAAAUUUUAAAAUGUGUAGCACAACUCAUUUUAUAAUGAGUUCUAAUAAAUUUUUUACACACACAUAUAUAUAUAUAUCNNNNNNNNNNNNNNNNNNNNNNNNNNNNNNNNNNNNNNNNNNNNNNNNNNNNNNNNNNNNNNNNNNNNNNNNNNNNNNNNNNNNNNNNNNNNNNNNNNNNNNNNNNNNNNNNNNNNNNNNNNNNNNNNNNNNNNNNNNNNNNNNNNNNNNNNNNNNNNNNNNNNNNNNNNNNNNNNNNNNNNNNNNNNNNNNNNNNNNNNNNNNNNNNNNNNNNNNNNNNNNNNNNNNNNNNNNNNNNNNNNNNNNNNNNNNNNNNNNNNNNNNNNNNNNNNNNNNNNNNNNNNNNNNNNNNNNNNNNNNNNNNNNNNNNNNNNNNNNNNNNNNNNNNNNNNNNNNNNNNNNNNNNNNNNNNNNNNNAUAUAUAUAUAUAUAUAUAUAUAUAUAUAUAUUAAGAUGAAAAUGUGAACAAAACUUAAAUCUUUGUUUUAAUUCUUACAUCUUUCAAUAUUUGAACUCAAAUAAAAUAAUUUAAUAAAAUUACUCGAAAAUCUCUGAAUCAAACCCAAGUGACAAUGAAUGCUAAGGAAAUUCGGUAUAGUUUGCUACUGUUAUUCUUUUGGCCAAACACUAAUGUAUGUUGACUGUUGAAUAGAGGAUGGUAGGGCAAUUCUUUCCAUGUGACUAGCAAGAAGGUGAAGGUCUAGUAAUGAAAGGUCACUUUCUAUCAUACGACUCUAGUCCUAUCUUUCUAGUCUACACUCGUCUAGUUUUCUUCAACAUAACAGCUAAUUAUUUUGAUUUUUCUUUUUGACGAAGAACUUGAAGAUAUUCACCAUAAGGUGAGGAUAGUCCCAUAUAGCAAGUGAUGGAAUCAGAAAUAUAAUUAAAUCUCAUUUUCUUUCUAUCUUUUAGAUCAUUAACCACUCUUCAUUUUUUUGGAGCCAUUUCUAUUCUCUACCUUUAUUAUUUUUCUCACCAUAUUAUCACUCUUCGUAUCUUUAUUCACCGUCUUCAUUUUUAUUAACACCAAAUAUUUUUAUAUAGUUAUCUAGUAUGUUAUUCAUCUUAGAUAAUAUAAAAUUUUAUGUAACCUCUUAUUCAUAUAAUAGAUUGGUGAUUAUUUGCUCCUGUAGACGUAUGAGCUUAUCUGAUGUAUCUAGUUAUACUAAGCAUUAUGUGAGACCACUUGAGUUAUCCCCCUAGUACAUUUGAGCUAUUCAUGAGUACAUAUUAGUCCAAUAUAUCAACCCCUUAUGGGGCUCCACUAAGCUCUUCCUAUUAUUUAUCAUAUGACUACCUCAGCUCACUAUGCAUAUUAUUUUUGCUCACUACUUAGUGUACCUAAAAUAAACCACUUACUCCCAAAAAUACAUAAAUAAAUAAAUAAACCCAAACUUAGCACAAGCUUCCCUCAAAUAUAAAUUUAUUGGUUUAAAUCAGAUUUGAGCUAGAUUCGGUGAGAACUGCCAAAUUAAUUUGAAUAAGAUUCUAACAAAAUUUGGUCAACAUGCAUUCACACACAUCCUCUCAAUAAUACCUGAAAAAAAUACAUUCACUCGCACUAUCCUUUGAUAGAGGAAAAUUAUUUUGAGUUCCUGUACUGUUAGUAAUAUUGAAAACACCAAUUCGACCACAACUUAGUGCCCAUUUAUGUUACUGGUUAUUACAAUAACAUAUGGACGAUUUGCAAUGCCGAAAAUUUCGCUCAUUGACAAUGUUAUUUCAUCUUCAGUGCAUUCUGUAAGUCCCCACUCCCCAAUAUCCCAACCACAUGUAUGUCAGUACAAUAUUGCUGAAUUUAAGCAGACGACAAACCUUUUGGGAGCCUUAGCUGGAUUUCCCCCAUUUUUAGGCCUGGCACACCCAAGUUAUAGGUGAGGCUGGGGUGAAGCUAGGGCUUCCAAAGAACCAAAUUUGCUUGGCUUUAAAUAAAACACUAAAAAUCCUAAUAAAUUGCUAGGAGUAGAAUGGUCCCUUUCCAAAACGACAAAAGUUGUCAUUCAAUCAUAGGACAAAUUUUCAUAAUUGGGCAGCUAAUAAAUUGUUGAAAGUGAUGGGCAAAAUGGCAGGACAUGGAAAAGUAAAGAGAGAUCCCCAUCUCUUCGAUGCCCAAUAGAAGAUUUUGCAAGUCCUUUUCAUAAUAAGUGAAAGCUUAUGCUUCAAUUAUUUAAGACCUAGUGAAAGUCUAUGCUAUAUUCUAUGACCUAGUUGCCCUAUAACACAACAUUAGGAUGCUUAGGCUGUGCCCCGGAAACAUUACGACAUGUAGAUAUUGUCCAAGUUAGGACUGUGAUUUAUAGUCUAUUAUUGCUAGCUAUGUCUUUUGUAUUUUCCACUUUUUCUUCUUCUAAUAAAGAAUCAAAACAAUUUAUAUCUACAUCUUUUUCUACAACUAAAGUUUUCUUUUCAUGUGGUAAGAUAUGUGUUUCGUAUUUAGGUUGAAUAAAUAUUGAUUUUUUUUUAAAAAUUUACUCCAUUAGGAGUUAUUAGUAUAUUAUACCAUUAUUUCCUAAUAUAAAAUUUAAUCCUAAAGUAAAUUUAGAUUCUUUAUUGAUUUUUCCCCCAAUUUAAUACUAUAAUUGAGUGGCGGCUUGUGUGUGUAUGAGUUGAGUUUUAUGGAAUUUUGUGGCCCAAAAUCAGAUGGGUGAACGUUAGGUGGGCUAGUUCAAUAAGCAGUCCAAACCUUACCCAGACAUCACGCACUUCACGGAAGCUCAUGGUUCGGCCUAACCACAAACAAGUUUAGUUUUUCACUUUGUGAAGCUAUUAGCACCCCCUCCCAAAUCCUCGGAAGCCCUCUAUAUUUUUUUUUUCUAUGAAUAUCCAUUAUGAUAUAAUUAAAAAGAAAAUGGAUCUUCUACUUAUUCUAAAAUGGAUCUUUGUGGGGUUGCAUUCUUAAUUUACAUCAUUGCCUUCUAAUAGGCAUAAUCAUUACCAUCAGAGAAGAAGACGUGUGUAUAAAAUCCCUCUACAGUUGAUGCAUUAGCUCCCAUUGCCAUGAUCACUCUUGGAUCAUUAGAUCAUUAUCAAUUACAAAACAGCUCCUUACCAAUUAAAGCUAUUUACUACAUUUUUUAACCAAGUUUCAAACUUAAAUUACCCAAACCCAUAUAAGAAGGGGAAUCACAUUAUGGAUUUAUUAGCUAAACCAAGUGUUUCUAAAUGUCAAACAACUAAAGCAAUAUCAAUACAAAUGAAUAGCUAUUGUUUAACAAGGAAUUGAAUUAUUUGAUUCAACUAUCUAUUAUCAAAACAAGUUGUUUUGACGACAGCCGAUUCCAAUGGAAAGCUAAUAAUACUUGUAGAUAUAUGAGAGAAGGAUUCUGAAAAUUAUUUAGUUUAAUUUCUCUCUCUACAUAAAUCAUAGUCCGCAUUUAGUUAGAAGAAACGAAAGGAGAGGAGAAAAAUAAAACAGAAAGAAAGGAAAAGAAAAUUAGAGAAAAAAAAGAGUUAAUCUCAAUUUUAUUGUUUGAUUUAUCAUUAAAAUUAUCUUUUCUUUUCUAAUUUCUUUCCUCUCUCCUCCUUUCCUAUCCUCCUCUUUCUUUUCAUUUUUUUAAAAAACAAACAUAUCAGUUACCCUAAACAAAACUUGUGACUAUAUUAAGUGCAAGACCAAUUCUUUCUUAAACGAAUAAACCUCAAAAGCGUAAGCAAUAUAAGAAGAGUAAAUAAUAAGGGAAGCAAGUGGAGAUGCAACAAUAAAUUUAAACCUGUAGAAAAAUAAAGAUAUAAAAAUAUAAAGUGAUAAAAUGGAGCGAGUGAAGGCACUAGCGAUAUUUAGGUGGUUCAGCAACUCUACCUAAGUCCUGGUUAAACUUCCAGUUGCUAAUCAAACCUAUACACAAGACCUGAUUGGCUUAUGAGAGCUAAUCAAACUGUUUCAAGGUACAAAAGAAAGUUUGACUGCCAAGGGGACAAGCAAAAAACACCCACAAACUUACUUUUGUCAUGCAGAAGUAAACCACCACAAGCAGCCAUUUC